GCCGCUGCCCUCUCCUAAAUCCAGGCCGCCGGCCAAGCUCUAUUACAAAUCCGCUGAGCUCCAACAACCAAAAAACGGGCUGCAGCUCGGGAUUGCAUCCUCGGAGCUUGCAGCCCAGCUGCUGCACCCCUGCUGCCAUGCGAGCUAUGGCCGUGAGGGCUUCCAAACACGCCCUUAGGGUUUGAGGUUUUAGGGAUUCUUCCCCCGUCCAUCGCCGGUCACAUCGCCUCCGGGAUGCAAGCGAGGCUGGUCGCGGUUGCCCACGCAAAGCCCAAGCGGCUGUCGCCCGCCAGCGAGUUCUGGUGAUGGUGGCACUCACUGGGCAUGGAGGGACAUGUGGUCCACUCGCAAUUCGGAGAUGGUGAACAAGGACAUCACCACCAUGAUAUUGUUUCAGUGGCUGAUCAGUUAGAGCUGCUUCCUGAGCUACAGAUAAUCUGACGCAUCAGCAAGAGACUACCUUUUCUUGAUUAGCACAAAUUGGAUAUAGCAGUUUCUGCCAAUAUUGCAACUCCAAUCCAACAACCCAAUAGGAGAAGCGAGGGUAUGCUUAAAGGUGCCUUCUCACCAGUGGAAGUGUCUUCAAAUAACAUUUUAGGUGGGCCUCCAGUUGGGUACAGUAUUCAACACUUCAAGGAGAACACAAGCAGUCUUCAGCUUUCUGCUUGAGAUAAGAAUUGAUGAUAAUACAAACUGCACAGCACUUGCUUCUUCCUAUUGAAGAGCAACCUUCCCUUCCACAUAUCGUGUACAUUUCUGCAACAGGCCCAGCCCCCCGUUUGCAUUGGAUAGUAGUGCGUAGGUAGACAUUCAUCCUGACAAUUGCAAACAGUUCUUCCGUAACGAAAAUGGCUGCACCAUUUUGCCAGCACUUCCUGGCUUCCUGCAAUUUCCUAGCGAUCUUCCUCUUGUUCUUGUUGUUGCACGUAAAUUCUGCUCUGAACUGAAGCUUAUGUGCUCAUAUAUCCACGUUGACACAAUGCCAUGUUUUGGAGGUGGUGGCUAUGAUUGCUUCGAUUGCAUCAACGAUAAAAGUUCACCGGGCUCUUUAACAAGAAGCACUAAAUCACUUGUUGAAUUAUUCUCAGCCAAAACAAUGAAUUAGUAGCUAUUUUCCAAAUAAAGAUCUUUAUUUUCUGAGGAACAUGUGCCUUCCAUACACGACCAGAUGUCACGAGCACCUCUGUUAGCUCUGCUGCAUUGACCACCAUUUUCUUUCAAUAAUUCCACAUUCUCAGCCAGUAUAUAAGCACUUCUCACUGUGAAUAACAUGCUUCUCCGGUUUCCAUGCAAUGUAAUCCCCAGAAGGGUUUGUUGGCAGUCUGAUUGAGAGAAUAGCUUCUGCAUCAUGGGGAUAAAAAAUCUCACGAAUUUGCUGCUCCUUCCAAGAACGUGAGACCGAAUCAAUAGAUCAGCCACUACUUUUAAUCAGUUAGAUUUUUCUGAUUUUCCUCCUUAUGUUUACAUUGGCGAAGUAAUCCAAUUCACAUUACAUACAUUUUUAUGUUACUGUUUUUGAACCAAACAUAUCCUCGCUUUCUUUGUGCGCUGACUCUCCUUUCUGCACACAGGGGCGGGUGAACUCGACAGAUAUGGCGGUUGACAAGUGGGUGACAGUGGUGGAGCACUCAAAGGAGAUGGUGGGCGAGAAGGCGGCGGCGGCGGCUCGAGCGGCCCAUGAGUCGAAGGAGUACAGGAGGUCGCUCGUGGACAUCGGCCUCACUCUGUUGAUCGGCGUCGUAUUCAUGCUCCUGAGUUUCCUCGUGCCGGAGAUAUCCAAGGUGUGGCAGAUUCUGUGUUGGCAGACCACGAUGAUCUCUUUCGCAUGUGCCGUGUUCUUCACCUGGAUCCAUCUGAGGGAUUUCCAUCCCAAGGUGGAGUCAUCUCGGGUUUGAAGAACUGGGAGUGGAGGAGACAAAGGUUGCUGGAAAAUGUUGAACUGAAGCCUUGUCACACAAACGUAUUUGGUUGAUGGACCUUAUUCUGGAAAUGUACAGAAGAAAAAUGAUUCAAAUUUCUUCUUCAGCUGAACAAUCCAUUCAAGAAUCAGUUAGACGUACCGUGAUUAUUCUCCACAAGAGUACUGCAAUGAUAUUGUUGGUGGUGUUCUAAAUUGACCUCUUUUUCUAUUGAAGGAUGGUUCAGCUGCUUUAUUUAUAAGUAAAACUAUAGCAUUAUUUGAUUCAAUGAUGCAGAUUUGUUGUCUUGACUUGGCCUCAUUUUCGACACCCUGUAGUACAGUUCAUUUAUAUGCUGCUGCACUUGGCAAUCUCACACUAGAAUUUUUUCUCAAAAAAAAAAUUAUCGCCACUCGAAAGAAGCAAACAACAAAAAUAAAUGUGGAAAGUAUUGUUUUUUUUACCAAGUAUUGUUGAUUGGAGUCUCUGCAAUUUCUGUGGUUUUGUGCUAAAAUGCCUAAUUCCCCAUGCUUGUUAAUAAAAUGUAAAGCAUAUAAUUUGUUUUUGUUUUUUACAACUUCUGGAUCUGAAUACUGACUUUUAAUUGCAUUGUUUGGCUAAAUCUGUUUCAACUUCAUGAACUCGGCCGCCGCCUAAUCAAGCACGCUGGCGGACGAUGGACUGCAGCAGGGAGAAGGUGCCAGGGGCAGCACCGUCAGCAGCAGCGCUAUUCACCACUGGUCACUCCACCGCCAGCGCCUCAUCCAAUCAGUGCUAGCUCAUCUGCUUGUGCUUUUUCAGAGUAUUCCUUCUAUAAUUCAUUCAUCUGCUCUUUGUUUUUUCUGGUUGAAAUAAGUUUAUAGGCGACUGAAGUUGUACAGCACAAAAUUAGUGGAGUUACAUCAUGAAAUUAGGGAUCACCUGGUUGAAUAAUUAUCUGCUCUUUAUUAUGGAUAAUUGCAGAAUGUAUUACGUACUAUACUCUUGAAAUCACAGUCAUAUAUACUACAGAACAGUAGCUUAGCUUACCCAGUGCGGGGUUAUUUUCUCAACCUGAUCAAGUCUAGAAUUUGUAGAUAGUUGUGUAUUUUGCUCUUAGGAAAGUGAUGGCUGUUACUUCCUCCGAUCUAUAAUAAGUGUCUCGGGUUUAGUACAAAUUUGUACUAGGCUUAGUUUAAAACCGCGACACUUAUUUUGGAUCAGAGGGUGUACAAUUAGAAAACUUGCAAUGGCUAUUUAGUUUAUUAGAACACUUGUGUAUUUUGUCCAAGAACCAAACAUGGGUAAGAAAGGGAAGAUGUUCAGUCUUGUCAGGAGUGUGUUGAGCUCCUCCGAUUCAAACUGGACGCAAGCUUGCUGACAUUAAUUGAAGGUUUUUAUAAAGUGAUAAAUCACACAUCAAUCCUACUCUGUUGUUCCAGUGCAGUUUUCUUGGUCGUGUGAACUUGUAAAACCUCGCAACCUUUUUGUGUUUGAUGAAUUUUGGGUUCCAUGAACAAAGGUAUAUGUGUUUGGCGUUACAUUGGUUCUUUUAUGCAUUGUCUGAUUUGUGCUCAUUACUUGGUCUUCUUCCUCGUCGGUUUGGUGACGAAUCAGCGGUUCGACAACCUGUCUUGCAAGAGGUGUGUCCUCGGACAAAGUCCGUUCAACGAUCUUAAAUUCUCAUCGGUUGCGAUGAGCGACUCACGCGCCUAUUUAAAACCUAUGAGGUUAGUGCAUAUUGUGCAGGUCUAGCCUUCACCCAUUUGAUCACCAGAGACAUGGAGAAAUUUUAAGAUACGGACGACGGACCUUUAGAUUUUUACUUUAAAGAAUCUUGAUGUGAAUUUUAGUUUCAUUAUGGAUCUUUGUUGUCGGUUUUUAUUUCAGUUUUUUUAUUCUUUGUACACUGUUUAUUGAUUCAAUAAAGCCAGAUGUCUCUUAAAAAAACUCAUUCUGAUGUUUUGUUUACUGAUCAAUUCUAAAUUUUAGCAGUAAAAAUGAAGUUCUCCCCGGGGAUUAAGUUAAUGAUGCUUUCCUAAUCUCAAGCUAACUCACAAAUAUAAAGGGAUUUGACAGAAAUUUAAAUCAACUAAAAUUAACUAGUCUUUUUGGUAUUUCCGUGGACCUUAGCAAAAACUUGACAAAAACUUAACUGAAUCUACUGAACUAAUUGAAGAAAAGGACACUAACAGAGCAGAUCAAAGCAGUGACAAAGAGAAAGAUUUGGAUAAAGCAAAGGGUUUUUGGUGAAGGUAGAUGAACUAGGAGAUCUAGAGGAAAGUUGACUGCAAGAUUUGGGCAAGGAGAGAAUUGGGAAUUGGGAAGAAUCGCUCAACAGAUCUAAGAGAUAGCAGCAAGGUUUUAGACAAGGAAAGAUUUCUUGAGGAAAAGAACAUCACAUGGAGAACAUGUUUAGAAUAAGCAACAUGACAUGAAAAAUAACAACACACAUGAACAUUAACUUGACAAAAAGUUCAAAUUUAAACAUGAUCAACACCAAAAAUUCAUGAAAAUAGUUUUAAAAAGGGUACUGAUCAUUUACAACCUCCCAAACGGCAGGCGACCACAGGUCCUAUUUACUUUGAACUUUGAGCAUAUACAGUAUACAUGUAGCCUUGGGUCCCAGAGAAAUCUGGAUAUGGUUCAUGAGAAAGUGUGCUAUACCUUCACAGAGGUUCUUGCUCUUUCUCUUCUUCUUUUUUUCUGAGCAUGAUUUUUUCGAUUCCAACAGUUUCUCGUGAGUUAUGUUUUCUUUUCUUCUCCCAUUACAUGAUGGAUACGAAUUGAUCAUUCGUUUUCCUUUUUGUUUGACAAAUCGUGGUUCCUAACAUUACUAAGAGAGAAUCGUGUAGUGGCAAGGACCACUACACCAUUGCCUCCUUGUCUGAAGAGCGAGAUGAAGAGCCAAAGCAGGUAUCUCUUGCUCGGCGCUAUACGACCAACACUCGUCAAUCAACAUAUCAAUCUGCAACCCCACUUGAUGAUCAAACACCACGCUGCAGACGCUACCGUCGGUGGAGACCGAGGACAGGAAUAAAUCCGUGAAUUUCACUAAAUCCCUAGACAAGUCACUCAAUCGCUUGUGAGCACCAACAAUGGCUUACCUCAAAAUGGAAAUAGUGUAAUGUUUUUGGCUAAGGCAGCAACGAAGAGUCAAGAGGGACGUAGACAGCUGAAAUGUCAACUCCGAAACUAUAGCCUACAAUAUUUGCAAAGUCGUCGCAUUAUUGUUGCUUGUAUGACCAAGACUCGCGCGACUACAUUCCCAGACCAUAAUCGCCUUAUCGCGCCCGUAUUGCAAUUCUUCAGGCCUGAUCAAUCCAUCAUGGAAUGGUCAGCUCCCGCCUGCUCCAUCACUGUCCUGAUCCUUGUGUCCUUCCUGCCGUUGCGAGCGUCCGACGACCGCCUCCUCCCCAGCAAGCCGCUCUCCCCUGGCGCCACCAUCGUCUCGGACGGCGGCGACUUCGCCUUGGGCUUCUUCAGCCCCUCCAACUCCAGCACUACUCCAGCGAAGCUGUACCUCGGCAUAUGGUACAACGGCAUUCCCGAGCUCACCGUGGUGUGGGUCGCGAACCGAGAAACCCCGGCCACCAACACCACCAAUUCCUCCUCCGCGCCCACGCUCUCCCUCACCAACACCUCGAGCCUCGUUCUCUCCGACGGCGGCCGUGUCCUUUGGACGACGACGCCUGAGACCGACGUGGCCGCUGCUCCAGCGACGGCGGUGCUUCUGAACAGCGGCAACCUGGUCCUACGCUCGGCGAACGGCACCACGCUGUGGCAGAGCUUCGACCACCCGACGGACACGCUCCUGCCGGACAUGAAGAUGGCGAUCAAGCAGGGCGCGCGCGCCGCCGGGCAGCGCCUGGUGUCCUGGAAGGCGCCGGGCGACCCCUCGCCCGGCCGCUUCUCCUACGGCGGCGACCCGGCCACGUCCCUCCAGAUAUUCCUGUGGGAGGGCACGCGCCCCGUGUACCGCAGCGCGCCAUGGACCGGGUACCGGGUGAAGAGCGAGUACCAGUUCCAAACGAGCAACACCAGCGCCGUCACCAUCUACCUGGCCGUCGUCGACAACAACGGCGGCGGGGAGAGCUACACGACCUUCAGCGUAUCGGACGGCGCGUGGAAAACAAGGUACGUCCUGGCCUACUCGGGCGAGCUCCAGAUCCGGAGCUGGAACGCCAGCUCGUCGGCGUGGGCCGUGCCGGGCCAGUGGCCCACCUGGGCGUGCGACCGCUACGGCUACUGCGGCCCGAACGGGUACUGCGACGAGACGGCGGCGCCCACCACCCCGGCGUGCAAGUGCCUGGACGGCUUCGAGCCGGCGAGAGGGGAGGAAUGGGACAAUGGGAAUUUCUCGGCGGGGUGCCGCCGCAAGGAGGCGCUGCGGGGUUGCGGUGAUGGCUUCGUGGCGUUGCCGGGGAUGAAGCCGCCGGACGGGUUCGCGCUCGUGGAGGAGGAUAAGUCGCUGGCGGAGUGCGCGGCGGAGUGCAGCAGCAACUGCUCCUGCGUGGCGUACGCGUACGCUAACCUGAGCAGCGGCACGUCCAAGGGGGGUAUAGCAAGGUGCUUGGUGUGGGCCGGGGAGUUGGUUGACACCGGGAAGCUAGGCUCAAGCCCCGCCAGCGACACGCUCUACCUCCGGCUCGCAGGCUUGGACGCAGCACACGGUACCAAUCCAAUCUCUUCCCUCCUCAUUCUCUAUGUUAGUCUUUUUUCUUCUGAUGGUGACUAUUUCUAGUUCUUUUCCUGGGCAAUUAGGAGGGGAGAAAUUUUCUACCUAAAAAUAUUACUCACUCCGUUUCAUAAAGGUUUCAAGAACACGAGUUUAAAAAUAGGGGUAAAGGGCAUAGAUAGUCACUUCAUAAUUAAUCCACAAUCCAGCGGCCAGUCUAAAAGCCCAUAGAUAUCACAAAAGUUCCUCCAAAGAGAGUUUAACCAUUACGGACAAAAAUUGUUGGUUCUUUAUACUCCCUCCGUCCCAUAUUAAGUGACGAAAUAUUACAUGUAUCUAGACGCUUUUUAAAUAUAAAUACAUCCAUAUUGGGCAAAGUUGAGUCACUUAAUAUGAGACGGAGGGAGUAGUAAAAAAACAUAUAUAACUAGGCAGUUACACAUUUGUGAAAUAUGGGCAACUUCCCUUUUAGACAUGUGCAAGUGCGCAAGCGAGCAUGUUCAUGUACAUUUCUACACCCAGAGAUGCACAUAUAAUUGUGUGUCUAGAUAUUAUAUUGUGUCACUUGGUUUAGAGAUAUAAACUCCUCCCUACGAUACAUAAAAUGUGUCGUCCACUUAGUACGAAAUUUGUACUAACAUUCAGUACAAAAUGGGCGAUACUUUUUAUGGAUGGGAGGGAGUAGAUUUUCAAUGGCCUGAAAAUUAGCAAACCUGUUAUUUUAUAAGAAAUGCCCACGGUGCAACUCAAACACAUGCUUUAAACUUGUAAACUGGACCGUUCAUAACACUUCGCUUUUAUGCUAUGGUGCAUGGACAGGUACAAGAUCAAAGAACAAUGAAGUGAAGUUUGGAUUGCCAAUUUUAGGAAUUAGUGUUCUGAUACUGGGGUGCAUUUUUCUUGCAUGGCUGAAUUUCAGAGGUACGUUAAAUUUAUAUUCCUCUAGGAACUGCCUAUUCGACCUUUUUGAAAUAUUUGAGUUUGUAUAUUGUACCCUCGUGCCGCAGAAUAUUCUAAACCCCGUGAAUUUGCAAAUUCGCACCAGAGCCUAUUUAAGCAAUGUAGUCAUUGCAAUUAAUAGAUAAGACAAUAAUUCCACAUGUUAGUGAUGUCUGCUUCUUCUUCACACCCCCUCAUCCGGCUCCCCCCUCAUCUUCUACUGGGUAGAUUUCUGUUAACAAUCUAAGACAUGGCUCUCUCGUUGCUUGACCAUGGUAUCCUUGGUGGGGGUCUAGUAUAGUAAACUAGUAACACUAAUAUGCCAUGGUGGUUUUUGGUUAUGUGAAUUUACAACGGGUAUACAGUGGACAAACACUAGCAGUUAAAUCUGUGAAAUAAAAUCUUAAUUUUUUUAUCUUAUUUGUUAUGUGUAUGAUAUACUCAUGGAUGUCGGUUACUGAAGCAGGCAAGAAGAGAAACCAGGGAAAGCACAAGAAGGUAACAGUGGAUGGUUCAAGUGAACUUGAAUUUCCACUUGUAAGAUUUGAGGAAGUUGCCCUAGCAACACAAAAUUUCUCUGAAAAAUGUAUGAUUGGGCAGGGAGGCUUUGGUAAAGUUUAUAAGGUAAUUUGUUCUAUAGUAGUAUCCUCUUAUUCAUUCUAAAUCUGUUUAAGUAACUUAAUUGACUUGUUCAUAUGAAAACCAAAAUGCAUGUUUUUCCUUAACAUUUUGAAGGGAACACUAGGUGGUCAACAGAUUGCCGUCAAGAGGCUAAGUAGGGACUCUCAACAAGGGACAAAUGAGUUUACGAAUGAAGUAAUUCUCAUUGCCAAAUUGCAACACAAAAAUUUGGUUCGACUCCUUGGAUGCUGUGGCGAGGCAGAUGAAAAAUUGUUGAUUUAUGAGUACUUGCCUAAUAAAAGCUUAGAUGCCACCCUUUUCGGUAUAUUCCAUCAACACCACCAGAAUUUCCUAAAAUAACUCAACAUGUUCUCUUACAUAUUUUCUUUUGAUAGAUGAUUCAAGAAAACACUUGCUGGUUGGGUGACUCGGUUAAUAUAAUCAAGGGAGUGGCAAGGGGGUUGCUUUAUCUCCGCCAAGAUUCAAGGUUGACCAUUAUUCACAGAGAUCUCAAAGCUGGAAAUGUUUUGCUAGAUGCAGAGAUGAAACCCAAGAUAACCGAUUUUGGCAUGGCAAGGAUCUUUGGUGAUAACCAGGAAAAUGCAAAUACGCAAUGUGUUGUCGGAACAUAGUGAGUAAUUAUUUGAACCAUUAACUUGUAUUAACUCAUGGUUAAAUUCAAACCCCAUUCCCCUAACUGUUGCAAGUGAAAUAAUCAAGCAGUGGCUACAUGGCUCCCGAGUAUGCAAUGGAAGGUGUCUUCUCUACCAAGUCAGACGUCUAUAGCUUUGGUGUGUUACUAUUAGAGGUUGUAACCGGCAAAAAGAGAAGCUCAGGCAGUCACACCAUGGGCUUUCCUAGCCUCAUAAUCUAUGUGAGUAAAUACUCCCUCCGUCCCAUAUUAAGUGACUUUUUAUUACAUGUAUCUAGACGCUUUUUAGGUAUAGAUACAUCCAUAUUUGAACAAAUUUGAGUCACUUAAUAUGGGACGGAGGGAGUACAUGUUUUAUUUUAAGUGCCAAAUUAAAGAAAGAAAGUAAGCCAUGUUUCUGAAAGAAAAGGGUUAUUUUCUACAACUCAUAGAGGGCGUUUCAUAUUGUUUCAGUCGUGGAAUAUGUGGAAGGAAGGGAAGGCAAAGGAGUUGGUUGACUCAUCUAUCAUGGACACCAGUUUAAUGGAUGAAGUCUUUCUUUGCAUCCAUGUGUGUCCAGGAAAACCCAGAUGAUAGGCCGCAUAUGUCAUCUGUUGUGUUCGUCCUGGAGAACGGAAGCACCACGCUUCCAACCCCCGAUCUUCCCGCCUACUAUGCACAACAACGCAUUGACUUGGAGCAAAUUAGAAACGAUAUUCUGAACUCCGUGAAUACUUUAACUCUUACCAAUAUUGAAGGGCGAUGAAAUAAUUUGUCUAAAGAUGGGCUAGCCCACGUGUAUGAGCUUGUAGUCUAGUGGUGGAGUGAAAUACUGAAAUAUUUCCUUCCUAUCCAGAGUACAAAAGAGUUGUUGUACUGAAUCUUCGACACUUGUUAUGGAUCGUAUGACAUCAGUUCAGAAAUGGUUGUUCAGUCAUCACUUAAGUUUCAGCAGUGACCUGCAUGCAACACAGCAAACUACGUUUAUCAUGUGCCUCUGGAUUUAUUUAUUUAUUUAUUUUUUUUUAUUUUUUUGCAGGGAUGUGCCUCUAGAUGUUCAUGCUUAAUAACAUGGGUAUUAAACUAGCUGAGAGCUCAGAACUAGAACAAUUGAGGGGCUUGAGGAAACAUCGAAGGAGCACGCUAUAAUCAAAGCACAUAAAUUUCUGCACUUUACUUUUUGCCUCUUACACAAUGCCAAGCAAAGAGCACACGCAGGGAGACUGGAGUGGAGAGGCACGAAGGCAGAGUUAAGAUACCUAACUUGGCAUCUGCUUAGUCUAAAUAAGCAUCAGUGCUUAACAAAAACCGGUUAAUUUUUUUAAGCACCCACCUAGGCAUCUUGCAUUGUACAUGCUCUUAGGGGGUUGGACCACCCUGAGAUUUUCUAAUCAUUUAUAUAACACGGUUAAAAAAAUUCAAAACAUCAAAAUAACUAAAUUAUAUGAAUAUUUUCACUGUUAGACCACCGCGGGGCGCGGGCGAGGGAAACAGAAUGAAGGGAAUGUCGAAGAUGGGCGACGUACAUACAGGUCCGAAGAAGAAGAGCAACAUACAUCAAAUAAAUACACGAGCAGAGUAAUCUAUAAACUCAGAGCAAAUGAAUUUUUGUCAAAGAAUUUAAAAACUCACACAAAAAAUUCUAAAUUUGGAUUAGUGAUACAAAUUAGUUCAAAUAUGGUUCAAAGAGGCUCACUUGGGACCGCAGCUUCUAGCUAGGUUUUCUCAUCUUGCAAAAUCACCACCGUGGAUAAAUCUCCUCCUGAUCGAAUCUCCCGAAUUGGUGACGGUGUUGUUUAAUCAAACUAGAGCACGGCGUCGAGACCGCACAUUAAUAUCUAAAUUUCUCAUCGGUCAUCGGUUGACGCACUCAACCAUGUCGGCCGCCGUCAAGACUGCGGGCGAGCAGUGAUCUGAUCGGUGUACCGUUAUCUUCGCGCCGAAGCAACCACCAAAGUUGAGGCCAUGGACGUGAGGCGUUUACUCGAUGUCCAUGUUGAUGUAGAGUUGCUUGACAUUUCCGUCCUAGUUCUAGUUCUAGAGUUAACUGAGGAUGCUUCUCUUGACGUUAGGCAGCGGGCCCUCAUGAACGACGAGGUGGAUAUAGGCCUCGAGGUCGUGGCAGCAUGAGGCAUCGGCAUCCAACCUAAGGUAUGUCGAUGCCAUGUUGUCAGCCUGAGCUCGCGGCCCAUGUUUGCGUAUCACAGCCUGUCGACAUCGGGAAAGAAGCAGCACAGGAAGACAUCAUGCACAUUCACCACAGGAAGGAUCCGCGCGCCUCCGCACGUUAUAUGGUCACCUACCUACCGCACGUUGUUGGCCACCUGCCUGCCAUGCUACUAAGAGCAAGAUUAAUAAUACAAACAUGUAUAAUGCUGGCUAUUAGCCCAUCAAUAGAAAACAUGUAUAAUAGUUAGCUAUAAGUAUGCACUAUUUUAUGAAUACAUUGCCCGCAUCUCACUCUCAUAGGAAGCCUAGGGGCAUGUGUGAUGCCACCGGCUGUUAGCUAGCAGCCCGCUUCUCUCCUCUCUUCCAUUCAACUCAACAAAAAUAUAGUAUUUAAAAGCUUACAACCUGCCCACGUAACCAUAUUGUACUUGCUCUAAGCUCUCGACUUGCUAUGGUUAGGGAAAUUGAGUACGAAAGAGCGUAUGCAUUCGAGUGAUCGUGUCGGAAAGAUGCAAUCAAUAUCAGCGAUCAUACGACUUGCGAAAGGAAACAAACACAUCCCCAUAUGUGGAGGAGGCCAAGGGUCUGUUUGGAUUGAGCCCCAGAUAGCCCUACCAAAAAAUUGGCAAGCUAUACUUGUUUGGUUUGCAGCCCUAGUGGAGCACCAAUUUUUUGGAAAACGAUUAGGCCACUAUUUGGUUUGCUUACAAGUACAGUUUCUGCAACUUUCAGUUCUUGAACGAGCAGAGAAGAACACCUCAAUCAAUUUAGAUCACUGAAGCAUGUAUAACCUGCUCCAAAUUCUCUUGCACUGGAGCAUCUGCACACCACUAGGAGCAGUACGCCUCCAUCGAUUUAGAAAUAUGUUGACCACAUCGUCGGGAUUUUGAGUUCUUCUCCAACUCCGGCCAACGCCCGCCGCAUCGAUUUCUUUGUUUUCCGGCGGGGUAAAGAUGGAUUCCUUGGGCAUCUAAAAUCAAAGACACAUAAUCUUCAUUUCCCAUCGAUCAAUUUUGAGUUUUGGACCCUGUAGCAUCACUCACGGGGAUGUUGCCGCCGGCCGCCACUUUCGCUGGCCGUAGUUUGCACAGCCGGACAUGCUGAUGCCACCAACGUAUUCCUGGAGUUCCUCUGAUUCCGUUUUGUGCUUAUCCGUCAUCCCCGAUUGCCCCAGAAAAAAACGGGAAAACGCAAGACAUGCAAGAUUAGCGAGAGGUUACGACGAGAAAGAGAGGAGAAUGCGGCUGCCAAAUAUUUGGCGGAGGAUUUCUACGCCCUGGACUCGCCCGCGAGUUGGUGAAAAAGCACGGGCGCGCUCGGGCGAGAGUUGGCUCACCAAAUUAUCGGUCACAGUCCAAACAACGGCCAAAUGUCACGGGCGUACCAAUUUUUUGGUAAGGCUUGCGUUGGCCAUAAACCAAACGUACCCCAAGUACACAACAAAAUACUGAAUUGUGGGAGUAUAUGGGCUGGAGUAAUGGGUCGAUUAUUAAAAUUUUGGACUGAAUUGUGGGAGUAUAUGGGCUGGAGUAAUACAUCAGUUACAGAUGUGUGGACGUGUGGUUUUAUGCAUCAAUGGAGAGUUUGAAGAAAAAAAAAAUAUUACAAGUCUGGAGGACUUAGCCACAUGGAAGAAUAAUUGAACCCCAUCAUGUAGUAUCCUGUCCUCUUCACACCAUCACCGAUACUUCGGUCUUCCCUGCAAUACAUACGGUCACCACUGCCCGAUGUCAGCGAGUAGAUCUGGUCGCGCGGCAACUCCUUCUCCUUAUUAGAGAAGGUGGGGCGAGAGUAGUAGAUGUGGUUUCUCUCCAAACCGCGUCGUUGGACGCCCAACGGCACGUGCACCGCCUUAGACCGCAGCAGCCCCCAAAACAAGGCAUAGUUGUCGAAGCUCGUAACCUCUUCCCAUUUGCAGUCGCCGGAGUCAGCAUCGACAAGCUUGAAGACCUUAAAGAAGGCUUCGCGGUUAGGCAGCCACCGGGUCCUCACAGCCAUGGACAGUUUACCCUGUAGCUCGAAGAUGUGGCCGGCGUAUUGCACGGGUUCAUCCCGCCUGGUGGGGCCAUCACGCCUUUGAAUGGCCAGCACGUGUGUGGCUGUGACCACCGGCGAGCCAUCUUCCUCCCAGCCGAUUGUAAACUUGAUGAGCUCCUCAUCCGGUGCAAGAAGUGUUGGAAUUUUGGGUUAGGCCCAAGGUCCAAUCUGAAAUUAAUUCCUGAAAAAUCUCAAAAGCCCAUUCAUGGAGUGGAAUGAGGAAGUGGGAAUAGUCCCACCUAGCUAGUUUAGGAGAGUUGGAUCAAUAUAUAAGAUAUGUUGGUUCUAACCUCUUGAACAAGUGAGCAAGGUAAAUCCCCACGCGCGCUCAUCCUCCUCCUCCUCCGCUCGCCUCGCCCCACGCCACGCCACGAGUUUCGUGGAUCGAUUUGGUCGGUGCGGUGCAGGGUCGUGCUUAUCUUGUUUUCCAUCCAGUCGACUGCGUGCAUAGAUCGUCGGGAGAGCAGGCCUCUGGAACCCCGACCUUCGAGAUCCUGUCCGAGAGACUGUCGAUAAGGUUUUUGGGAAGCGUUCUCAUGCGACUGCUCGCUUCUUCACGUCCCUGUUUCAUCGGCAUCUUCAUCACCAAUGGCCGAUGACCUCGGAGAUCCUGCGGCUCAGACUGCCGCUCUAGCUCAGCAGCAGCAGGCUGCCCAACUCCAAGCCCAGGCAAUUGCUGCUGCACAGGCGCUGGCCGCUGCCCAGGAGGUAGUCAAGACUGCUGCUGCUGCCGGCAUGAACAUCGACGCCGCCGGACUCGUCACCGACCUCAACAAACAAACACAAGAAAAGAGUACAACACUGUACGUCUGCUCUUUCUUGUUGAUUUUGAUUAGUAGUUCUAUUAUUCAUGUCGUGAAAUUAGAUGAGUUUUAUUAAUGUGCGUUGCUAUUUAAUUUGUCUAGUUUGCAUGAUAUAAUAUGCUACAUGUUUUACACAUUGUUUUUCUGGAUUAAAUAUUCAUCGAAAUUACCUAAUUAUUCAACAAUCCAAAAACCUUAUUCGUGUAGCCAAUUUUCGAUGUCUCAAUUUGCUGUCGCAUUGAAACCACCUGUGUUUACUGGACUGCACUUUAAGAGGUGGCAGUAUAAAUGUCAUAUGUGGCUCGUGGCUAUGGGCGCAUGGUGGGCGGUACAACACGGGAAGACUCAAACAAUUGCUCCUCAACAGUUGUAUGUUGAGGCUUGUGUUGUAGUCGUCGGUGUGAUCUGUAGUAUGCUGGGAGAUAAGCUCGUUGAUGCUUAUCUACACUAUCAGGAUGCCAAAGAGUUGUGGGAUGCGCUCGAUGCUAAGUUUGGCGCAUCUGACGCCGGCAGUGAGCUGUACAUCAUGGAGCAGUUCUUUGACUAUAAGAUGGUUGCAAACCGAUCUGUAGUGGAACAAGCUCAUGGGUUACUGACUAUGGCUAAGGAACUUGAGCAAUUCAAGUGUCCACUACCCGACAAGUUUGUCGCCGGGGGCAUCAUGGCCAAGCUUCCUCCCUCGUGGAGGAACUUUGCUACUUCACUAAAACACAAGAGACAAGAAAUCUCUGUGGAGAACCUGAUUGGGACUCUUGAUGUUGAGGAGAAGGCGAGAGCAAAAGAUGCUGGCCCCAAAGGCAACACGCAAGAGGGUACGUCCACUGCCAACAUGGUUCAGAGGAACAACCACAACAACAGUAACAGCAAGGGAAAGGGAAAGGCAUUCAACAAUGCUGGUCCAAAAAACACUACCACUUUCAAGAAGAAGAAGAAAAGAGGCAACAAGGACAAGGAUCCUUACUUUGUGUGCGGAGGACUCGGCCACUGGGCGAGUAACUGCAAGGAGCGCAAAGGAGGACAGAUUCGGCAAAAGUUUGCUAAUUUGACCAUUGGUAACAAUGAAGAUGCAGGUGGGUAUAGUCAUUUAUUUACUGUAUUUUCUGUAUGUCAGUCCACCGAUUGGUGGUCAAUACAGGUGCAACUAUUCAUGUGUGUGCUGAUAUUUUCUUGUUUUCUUCAUAUCAGGCCAUCAGCUCCUCAGUGACGAUGGGGAACGGCGCUCAUGCUUCUGUUCAUGGUGUUGGCACGGUGGAUCUGAAGUUUACUUCGGGAAAGAUCGUGCAGCUGAGGAACGUGCAGCAUGUGCCCUCCAUUCAGAAGAAUCUUGUUAGUGGAUCCCUCCUUUGCAAGGACGGAUUUAAGUUAGUGUUUGAGUCCAAUAAAGUUAUUGUGUCUAUGUAUGGACAAUUUAUUGGUAAAGGUUAUGAGUGUGGAGGCUUGUUCCGCUUAUCCCUUUCGGAUUUUUGUAAUAAGGUCGUGAACCGCGUCAAUUGUAUUAAUAAUGAGUCUAAUGUUUGUCAUUCAUGACUUUGUCACAUUAAUUUUAGUUGCAUGAUGCGAUUAGCAAAUCUGAGUUUAAUCCCUAAAAUCACUGUGGCUAAAGAUUCGAAGUGCCAAACUUGUGUGCAAGCGAAGCAGCCUCGCAAGCCUCACAAGGCUGCUGAGGAGAGGAACCUAGCACCAUUAGAACGCAUACAUUCUAAUCUUUGUGAGAUGAACGGUGUAUUAAUCAAAGAUGGAAAACGUUACUUUAUGACUUUCAUUGAUGAUGCGACUAGAUUCUGUUAUGUGUAUUUAUUAAAAUCAAAGGAUGAAGCAUUGCAUUAUUUCAAGAUCUAUAAAGCUGAAGUCGAGAAUCAACUUGAGAAGAAAAUUAAACGUUUGCGGUCUGACCGCGGUGGAGAAUAUUUCUCCAGUGAGUUUAAUUCAUUUUGUGAGGAACAUGGCAUAGUCCAUGAGAGGACACUUCCCUAUUCGCCCCAGUCAAACGGGGUUGCUGAGAGGAAAAUCCGCACGCUGACUGACUUGGUCAACGCCAUGUUAGACACUGGUGGUUUAUCCAAGGCAUGGUGGGGGGAGGCGCUAUUAACUUCGUGUCAUGUCCUAAAUCGUGUUCACACAAAAGAUAAAGUCACCCCAUACGAGCUAUGGGAAAAGAAGAGACUCACACUUUCUUACUUACGGACUUGGGGUUGUUUGGCGAAAGUCAAUGUGCCAAUUACCAAGAAACGUAAGAUUGGACCAAAAACCGUUGAUUGUGUCUUUCUUGGCUACGCACUUCGGAGUGUUGGCUAUAAAUUCUUGGUUGUAAAUUUUGGAGUACCUGACAUGAGCGUUGGUACAAUUAUGGAGUCCAGGGAUGCUACAUUCUUUGAGAACAUAUUUCCCAUGAGAGAUAUGCAUAGCACAUCUAGAGAGGAUCAUGAUGUACCUGCUGAACCCGUCAGUUCAGAGGAACAUCAGGAUCAUGGUGUAGCUCCUGAACCCGCCAUCCUAGUGAAAAAUCUUGAACAAACACUUGAUGAGAUUCCUGAGGAGUAUGACAAUGAAGCCCCUAUUAGGGGUAAGUGACAAAGGAUUGCUAAAUCCUUUGGUGAUGAUUUCAUUGUUUACCUUGUGGAUGACACCCCUAAAACCAUUAAUGAGACUUUUGCAUCUCCGGAUGCAGACUAUUGGAAGGAAGCCAUUCGUAGUGAGAUGAAUUCUAUCAUGGCUAAUGGUACUUGGGAGGUCGUUGACCGUCCGUACGGGUGCAAACCUGUAGGAUGCAAGUGGAUAUUAAAAAAAACUUAGGCCUGAUGGUACUAUUGAGAAGUACAAGGCGCGGCUUGUGGCCAAGGGUUUUACACAGAAAGAAGGUGAUGAUUUCUUUGAUACUUACUCACCUGUAGCUCAAUUGACCACAAUUAGAGUAUUACUAUCACUGGCUGCCUCAUAUGGUCUGAUCGUCCAUCAAAUGGACGUUAAGACAGCUUUCCUUAACGGAGAGUUGGACGAGGAAAUUUACAUGAAUCAGCCAGAUGGAUUUGUAAUAAAGGGUCAUGAAGGCAAAGUGUGUAAGUUAUUAAAAUCUCUAUAUGGCCUGAAACAAGCUCCUAAGCAAUGGCAUGAGAAGUUUGACAAAAUUUUAACAUCUGCCGGCUUUGUUGUAAACGAAGUUGACAAAUGUGUAUACUACUGCCAUGAGGGGCGGGGGUGAGGGAGUUAUACUUUGUUUGUAUGUCGAUGACAUACUAAUAUUUGGGACUAACCUCAAAGUGAUUGAAGAGGUUAAGACUUUCUUGUCGAAGUGCUUUGACAUGAAAUAUCUUGGUGUAGCUGAUGUUAUUCUGUACAUCAAGCUCGUGAGAGGCGACAAUGGUGAGAUCACUUUGUUACAAUCUCAUUAUGUGGAAAAGAUCUUGAGUCGUUUUGACUAUGCUGAUUGUAAACCUUCUACAACUCCUUAUGAUCCAAGCAUUCUGCUUCGAAAGAAUCACAGAAUUGGAAGAGACCAACUGAUAUAUUCUCAGAUUAUUGGUUCACUCAUGUAUUUGGCUAGCACAACUACACCUGACAUCUCUUUUGCUGUGAGUAAACUGAGUCGGCUCAUUAAGAAUCUGGGAGAUGAUCAUUGGAGUGCACUCGAGAGGGUCAUGCGCUAUUUAAAGGGCACAAUGAGCUAUGGUAUACACUAUACUGGGUACCCCAAGGUACUUGAGGGUUAUAGUGAUUCAAAUUGGAUAUCUGAUGUUGAUGAGCUAAAGGCCACUAGUGCAUAUGUGUUCACACUCGGAGGGGACGCUGUUUCAUGGAAGUCUUGCAAGCAAACGAUCUUAACCAGAUCAACAAUGGAAGCAGAACUUUCAGCAUUAGAUACAUUCACGGCUGAAGCCGACUGGCUUCGUGAGCUCUUGAUGGACUUGCCGAUUGUUGAAAAACCAAUACCAGGGAUUCUUAUGAACUGUGACAAUCAAACUGUGAUAGUGAAAGUGAACAGUUCUAAAGAUAACAUGAAGUCAUCAAGACACUUCAGGAGACGUCUGAAAUCUGUCAGAGCAAUGAGAAAUUCCGGAAUAAUAGCAUUGGGAUAUAUCCCAACGGCUAAAACUCUGGCAGAUCCCUUUACAAAGGGUCUAUCAAGGAAUGUGAUAGAAUCUGCAUCAAGGGAGAUGGGGUUGCGACCCACGUGAGUUACCAUGGCGGUAAACCAACCUAUGUGAUCGGAGAUCCCGUGAAUUGGGACCUGGGAAACAAGUCAUUGGAUAACUGAGGAGAGUGUACAUUCUUUAUCCCACUCCGUUGACGAUGCAUUACUCUCGUGUACUGUAUGGUAGGUUGUUAACUUAAUGUGUUCUAACGCGUUACAUUAAUUUGCAAGGGAGAUACUGUCCUACAGAGUAGUCUCUAAAGAACACACCUAUAUGAACCUGACUGUCGGUCGCAGUCUAUGAGAUUUAGGUGGUCUCUAGUAAGCUCAUGAAAAGGCCUGGAGAAUGACUUAUAUGCUCCACACCGCGGGAUAGCAUUCGGCAGCCUAAUACCAGACAACAAUUUAGUGAAGCUCUAAUACAGAAAACUGACAAUUCAAGAUUUGUCCAUUGUUCAGUUGUGUGUGAGUGAAGCUAUUUGUUUAGGUGGAUAUUCAACCUUAACCAGUCUCCACUGAAACGCUGAUAUAUCAAAAACAGAGUUUUGGAUCAAUGGCAAUUUUAUGUGCUUAUGAGAUAUUGUGGAGGAUUGUUGGAAUUUUGGGUUAGGCCCAAGGCCCAAUCUGAAAUUAAUUCCUGGAAAAUCUCAAAAACCCAUUCAUGGAGUGGGAUGAGUAAGUGGGAAUAGUCCCACCUUGCUAGUUUAGGAGAGUUGGACCAAUAUAUAAGGUAUGUUGGUUCUCAACUCUUGAGCAAGUGAGUAAGGGAAAUCCCCACGCGCGCUCCUCCUCCUCCUCCGCUCGCCUCGCCUUGUCACGACGCGCGCGCGCCGCGUUUCGUGGAUCGAUUUUGAGUCGUGCCGGGCCAGGCCGGGGCAGGGUCAUGCUUAUCUUUUUGGCAAUCGGAAUCCGUUCCGGACGCGUAACAAAUCCCGAUAAUUGCGGAGUCGGUUUUGGUUUUUUAAACCGAACCGAAGUCCGCCUACAUGCCGAUAUAAUAAGACGACCGCGACCGCGGCCUCCGGACGUAUGACGCCACAACCCUAGCCAUCACGGUCACGAUCCAAUCUCGCUGUUCGCCGCCAACUGCUACUCCAUCCCGUCGACUGCGUGCAUAGAUCGUCGGGAGAGCAGACCUCCGGAACCCCGACCUUCGAGAUUCUGCCCGGGAGACGGUCGAUAAGGUUUUUGGUGAGCGUUCUCACGCGACUGCUCGCUUCUUCACGUCCCUGUUUCGUCAGCAUCUUCAUCACCAAUGGCCGACGACCUCGGAGAUCCUACAGCUCAGGCUGCCGUUCUAGCUCAGCAGCAGCAGGCUGCCCAACUCCAAGCCUAGGCAACUGCUGCUGCACAGGCACAAGCGCAGGUGCUGGCCGCUGCCUAGGAGGUAGUCAAGGCUGCUGCUGCUGCCGGCGUGAACAUCGACACCGCCGGACUCGUCACCGACCUCAACAAACAAACACAAGAAAAGAGUAUAACACCGUACCUAAUCUGUUUUUUCUUGUUGAUUUUGAUUAGUAGUUCUAUCAUUCAUGCCGUGAAAUUAGAUGGGUUUUAUUGCUGUGCGUUGCUAUUUAAUUUGUCUAAUUUGCAUGAUAUAAUAUGUUACAUGUUUUACAAAUUGUUUUUCUAGAUUAAAUAUUCAUCAAAAUUAUCUAAUUAUUCAACAAGAAGGUCAAGGCCAUGCGCAAGGGUAAGGCCAUAGAGAUCACCGUUGCAGAAGGCUAUAUCUAUGAAAAUCCUCUUGCGCCAACCAGACUCCUGGGCGGCCCUGGCCCAGCCGCUGUGGGAGCCAACUUUGCACAGCGCGACGUUGAGCCAAUCCUCGGUGAUGGCGGCGAGCAAGCAGCCGUCGGAGGUGGGUGCUUGGGAAAAGAUGAGUUUCGGGAUGGUGUUUUCCCUAGGAUCGCCACCUGGCGCGAUCCAGUAGGGGGAAGGGAACAUGCUCUGCUUCGGGGAGAGAACCCACCUCAACGCCGGAGAAGAGGUUCACGAUCACGAGCUCGCGGUUGUUGAACGCCGGGACCCAGCCGCCGUCGUGGGAGCCAGUCAGGAGCUUCCUGGCCACCUUGCUCGGGACGCGCAAGACACAACAACUGUCCUCGUUGGGGCCGCACAGGUGCUUCGUCUCGCUGCGGCAGCGUUGGGAGAGGAGCAGCAGUGGGGCUGCGGGCUGCGCCGUCGGGAGGAAAGCCUCAAGUGGACCAUGCCGACGAGGUCGUCGCAGAGGUCGGACCACCGCGCUGACGAUUCUGUGCUGCCGUUCCCGGCGGUCAUCCGCAGAGGCGAUUCGAUGAUAGAUCACGUGUACCGUGGUAUUUGGCGAGUGUACCGACCUGUAAGUCCGCUAACGCAAAGCGAGGAGUUGGUACUAGUCUAUCGGCCGAACAUCAAAUCUAUAGCCGAAUAGAUUUGUUCGAGUAUGAUUGAACAAAUCUACAGCCGAAUAGACAAAUCCGACCGUUCGUAGGAUCGACAACUUUUGUUCUCUGAGAUAAACAAUCAAGGUCUCGUACAGGCUAUACAGCCGUCUUGGCGUUGCAGGCGCGGCCGCAAUCCAGCCAGCGCGUGCCGGAGGGGCCUCUCAACGGAGGACGCGGUCGGUCUGCCGGUCCAUCACGUUGGGCGUUGGGCGUUGGCCGUCACGUACUUGACUUGAGCGACAUGAGUUCGAUGGACGAUGCCUCCUCUUCAAGCAAAUACUCCGUACUUGUGAAAUGUGAGCUCUUAUUUCAGAUGAAAUGUUGUGUUGUCAACUUGUCAAGGUGCCGUGUAACGCCUCCUCGCUUCCUUCUUCCUCCUCGGGCUCACCGGGUGAGCCAAGCAACCCGCUCGCUGGAUGUCAGACACACUGAUCGGCUGAGGAAAUGCUGCUUUGCUUGCAGUUUUUGUGUUCUUGUGCAUCUGUGAUCUGCGUAAGUCACAGUGAUCGGCUGAAGCAAUACUCCCUUGCCUGAUUCCCCUCUUUUCCCUCUGUUUCAAUCUCUCUAUCCGUUCCCCUUUUUCUACAGUCUGUUGCGACAUGGAGGAGAAGAGUUUGAUUCGGUCGACACUGGGAAAUUUCAUCCAGAAUAUGAUUGGUAGGCCCAAGAAAAAAAUGGUUUCAGAAGAGACAAGGUGUUCUAUCAAAAUGCCAAUCAAAAAUGUGUUAUUUUGACUUAGUUUGACACUGAUGAAUUGGACUGCAAUGAAAAAGUACAUAUGAAAGAAGAAAAAGGUUGGAUAGUCAAAAAACAAAGUCAGAAUAUGGUUGGAAAAACUUAAUUAUCAUAAUCCACCACAAUGCUGCGAAACCAACCCUUUGUCUAAGACAAAGAAAGAUGUGCACAUUUUGAUUGCUGAUGAUCUUGGCUAAUUUUUUUUAAAUAAUACUAUUUUUUUAAUCAUUUUUAAAAAUAAUACGUGUUUUUUAAAAAUUUCAAAAAUAAUGCGGCCUCGGCCUAGGCGAGGCCGAUUGAGCUCAGUCGGCCUCGGCCAGGCCGACUGCAGGCCGCCUGCUCAGCCCGCGAGGCCCCCACGAGGCAGUCGGCCUGGCCCAAGCCGACUGAAACCUAGGCCAACUGGCCCAGUUGGUUUCGGCCAGGCCGACUGGAUUCAGUCGGUUUGGGCCAGGCCGAUUCGAAGUAAUUCCAUUUUUUGUUUCGGAUCCUUGCGGUCUUUUGAACUAAAAUACUCAACUUGGAUAAAAGUAACACACCGAAUCCGAUCAGAAGUAAUUAGAUUUCGCCGCGAGUUCGUGCAUGAUCAACGCAUACACAGCCGAAGCUCAUUUUUGUCUCGAAUCCUUGCGGUUUUUUGAACUAAAAGACUUAACAACUUGGAUAAAGAGUAACAUACAUCGAUAAUUUGCUGGACAAUUUUUGUGUCGAUUCUUUGCGGUUUGUUUGAACUGGAAGACUUGACAUUUGGAUAAAUUUGGAUAAAUUAACAUACAUCGAUAAUGUGCUGGUUACAGAACCAAGGCAUGACUAAAUUAACAUACAUUGGUAAUACCGCAAUUGGACAUAAUUAAAGAUAGCAAAUACAUUUGAAACACAAGCACUACUGAGUCCACUUAGCCAUUUUCCGCUCGUAUCGCCACGUCCUUCUGCAGCCUUUGCCACGGCGGCCCUUUCUCUUUGCCUCUCCCUUUCUGCCUCACGAGCAUCCUUGCGACUUUGUUCCUCCUCUUGCAUCUCAAGUGCUUUCUCCCUGUUUUUCCUAAGUGCUUCAUCAAUCCAACGACGUUGUUCCUCCCUAUGCUCUUUCAUCUCUCUCUCUUGCUCCUCUUUCUCCUGGUCUGAAGCUUUUUCCACAUGCUUCUCCGCGUGGAAACACUGCCAUGCAUUUCGGGACCUUGUUUUGAUCUCUUCCACCGCCCAAUCCGGCAUCUCCGUGUCAUCCUCCUCGGCCUCUCGCCCUGGUCCGAGCAAGGCAAACUCAUCGGGGUCACUGGAAUAUUGGAAAAAACAGUAGUGGGAAGGAUGCUUGGAUGACUACCGGAGAUGAGGUAUUUAUAGGCUCUCAAACUCAUUCUCCCGGCACCGUUUCCCGCCUCGUUUUCCCGCCAGCGUUUCCCGCCUCCUUUUCCCACCACCGUUUCCUGCCUUUUUCCCGUCACUGUUUCCCGUCUAUUUGUAUCUUCUGUAACUAUAAAAGACCGUCCAUGGUAUUGAAGUGUAGUCUCACCAUUUCAUCUGGGAAGAUGUCGUCCGGCUUCCCAGAUGAUCGUAGAUUUUGGUCAGGUAUGUCCCGAGAGCUAUUGUGGUUAGCAGGUGAUUUCAAGGUAGACAAUAGGAUAGUUUCAUGGGACGAACUCAUUAGUAGUGACACCCUACUAACUGAGCUGAGCCACCAAUUAUAUAGGUGCAAUUUUCCAUUGAGGACUUCUGCAGAGAUACGGCAAGAACUGCUAAGGUUGCACGAAAGGUGGAAGAAGCACAGUGAACGUAAGAGUGAGUCAUACCUACAAUGGGCUAGAAAACAUCCGUGUUAUGGGUUGAAGAGGAGGAAUCCGAUGAAGAUAUCUUCAUGCCAAGCAAAACGGGUAAGAGUUCUUCAUCGUCCAAGGGGAAGAGUACUGCACCAUCGAAGCGAAAGAGCACAUCAUCGUCCAAGGGGAAGAGUACAUCAUCGUCCCAUGAAGAUAUCUUCAUGCCAAGCAAAACGGGUAAGAGUUCUUCAUCGUCCAAGGGAAAGAGUACUGCACCGUCGAAGGGGAAGAGCACAUCAUCGUCUAAGGGCAAGAGCACUUCAUCUUCGUAGAGUUAGAAUUAGGUUAUCUUAUUUUAAGUUGUCGAUUUUAAUUUCAGUCUUUCUAUUGCAUAUAUAUUUCAGUCCUGCCAUUUUUUAUAUGCAAAUGUAACUUGAAUAAGAAUGCGAAAAAUAGUAACAUGUAUCUCUCAUACAUAGGUAGAAAUAUGUCUCAUACAUAGAUAGAAAUAUGUCUCAUACAUAGGUAGAAAUAUGUCUCAUACGUAGGACCUACAUGCAAAUAUCAGGCACGGUGUCUGGGACGGCGUUCCGGGGGUGCCUAUGGCGUGGUCCAGCCAUACCUAUGAGGUGGCACAACGUUGCGCGGAGGAAUCACGGACCCAUCCUCACGAUACUGUGUAUCCUCCUGUGUGGGGUCUGGUCGCGGAGUACUGAACAUCCAGCUGUGUUGGAGAGAAUAGUGCUCUCCUCGAGCGUGAUCCUGCUCACUAUCCCACGAGGGUUCGGACAACGACGACUGAUGCCCGUAGGGUCCUGCAUGUGGGAAAGUACUUAGCAUUAGAAUUGUGUAGCAAUCAUGGUAAUGAACACAAUAGAUAGAAAUAUACAUACCCUGUGGCUGGGUCUGUGGACGAAACUCGAAGUUCAUCCUGCGACUCUGCUGGUGCUGCCACGCCGAACCUCUAGCCUGAAAAGAGGGGGGCUGCUGCUGCCACACCGAACCUCCAGCCUCAAAAGAGGGCUGCAGCUGGUGCCAAUAGUUGAAAGAAGACUGCGGCUGGUGCCACGACGAACCUCCGGCCUGCUCAGGAGGUGGUGGCCUGGGCGUCGACUGCUCUGGUAGACGUGGACGCGGGUGGUGUCGGGGGAGCGGUGCUUCCUGCUGACAUGGCCGCUGCUGGUGCGUGGAGUGACGAGGUGGCCGUACGGAUGCCUGGUGGUGAACGACGUCCGAAGUGCAGGUGCACGUGAUAGCCGCGUAAACAGAGCGUAGCUUCUCCUUCAUUCGUCUAAGCCAGGACUGGUGCGGCUCCCGUGGUAGUAGAAGUGGACCGGUCGAAAGCGAACGUCCAUACGCAGCGAACUCGGCCUGUAAAUUCUGUGUCAACUGAGCCUGCAAUUGGCACGAAGAGUAUUACAUAUAUAUGGCAAAGUACGUAACAAACACAUGCAUUAUGUUAAGAGAAGAUACUUACCGCGUGCUGUCUAGAGCCUGAAGUAGACUGGCUAGGGUACAUAUCUUGCAAACUCGGCUCGGCUAUCUCCUGGGGGUGAGAGUGCUGAAUGAUGCUCAAUCGGGUAGCUGUCAUGUACCUCUGCAAAUAUCCGUUGAAUAGAUCAAGAUCAAAGGCCUCCAAUGGCCAAACCCGUGUCGUCGCAGUCUCCCACUCUGUGACGUACGACUGAACCCUCUGCAGUCACUGAGUCAGGGUCCUGGUACUUCCCUUCCUGGUAAACCUGAGAUCGCAAUAGAAAGUUGAACAAUUAAAUUAUGGAUAAUUCUGGACGACAAUCAUAAAUUGCAGAACUGCACAUACCUGUGGACGAUCUGUGGAAGUGGAUCAUCCGUCGGUGGAGGAACGACCAACCGGCGUGCCCCAAACUACCUCAUGACCCUCUGCUGGGCCAUCUCCUCCAUGCAGACGUCGAAGAUGAUCUUUGAUUUUGUCAUCCAGUAAGCAUAAUCUCUCGUGCAGACCGUGGACAUCCCGCCAGGGUAUCUAUCAUCGAUGGCAUCUUGUGUGUACGGCUCCUAGACAACCGCCUCAGAGUGCAACACGUCGAACUGCUCGUUGAAUGAUGGGUAGCAAUUCCUGACCUGAUCGUGUGCAAAGCGUCUCUGUAAAAAAAAGAAGUUAGCUUCAUUCAUGGUUUAUGUAAACUAAUGUAUGAAUUUCACAUUCGACAUACCUUGCUACGUGUCCAAAUUGUCGCGAAAGUAGGCAGGUCGAUGUGUUCUAAGUCAAACAACUCCUGCUCAGGGUUAGGGUGAUCACCCGUAACGUCUGGUCGGCCGAUAGAAAACCUCUCCCACGACCAGAGCUGCAACAAUAAAGGACAUCCAAGCAGGGCUGACUUGGGCGACGCAAGCUGGCAAGCGUUGCACAUACCUCGGUACGUAGCCGCUAAGACGGCCGAACCCCAACUCCUCUGUGUGAUGUCGUCACCACAAGUUGCAUUCGCGAUCUCCACUGCAAUAGGGAUGUAGCGUGCGCUAAUGGUGGUGACGUGGUUCUCGGUGAACAUCACCUCCCGAGAAGCCACAUUAUAUAUGCCUCAAGGCUCCGAGUGAUCUGAGGCUCAGUCAUUUGGGUCUCUGUAUACCCAAACUUCUGAAUCUGCAUGCAACAAAAACCAAGUGUUAGUAAACCCAUGCAAGUAUAUGAGGUAUGCUCUUAGAUAUAUUAACUUAAAACACAUCGAUCUAACCUGGUAAUUAGGCAACCAAUCUAGCUUAGGUCCGUGAGCCUCCGAGGUAGGGGCUCAGCUCCGGCAAGAAUACCUUGAAAACGUAGGGAACAAAUUAACCCAUAGUUCCACAUAGCGUACAAAUUAAAACACAGGGCACAAAUUAACACAUACCUUGAAAGCGUAGUGCCAUACCCUCCUGCCAAUCAGCUGGUGCCUGCAACGGUCCUAUGGGAUCACCCACCAAUGGUAGUCCCAGCAGCAUCGAGACAUCCUGGAGAGUAGGAGCUAUCUCUCCCCAGUGAAAAUGAAACGUGUGUGUCUCGGGCCUCCAUCUGUCCACUAAGCAGCUCAGCAGCAAGUGGUCAAUUUGUAGCCGUGUAGAGUUGAAACCUCGUCGCUCACCCUCUACCAUUUCCGCACAAGUUGCCCCAACAAGUCGUGCGAAAGGUAAAAGGCCAGCCCACUUCAAACUGCAUAAAUAAAAUGGACAUGCAAGGGAUGAAUAAAUAAAAUGUAAAUGCAAGGGAUGAUUGAAUAAAAUGUACAUGCAAGGGAUGAAUAAAUAAAAUAGACAUGCAAGGAAUGAAUAAAUAAAAUGUAAAUGCAAGUGAUGAUUGAAUAAAAUGUACAUGCAAGGAAUGAAUAAAUAAAAUGGACAUGCAAGGGAUCAUUGAAUAAAUACCGCUGAAUCCAGGCAGGGUGUAUCAUCCAUUUUCCCUUAGGAGUGCGCGUGACAAGGGGCUCGACACUCUCAGGAUGCGCCACCAAUCGAGCAGCCUGAUGCUUACUCUCAAUCUCCGGAGAAAGCAAUGAUACUCUCUCCAUUUUGUGCCUGCAACAUUUAUAAACAAAGUUAGACAUACAAAUUAAAGUUAAGCAUAGUUAAACCGAGAGUACAUAUUAAAACAUAGUUGAACAAAGCGUACAAAUUAACACACAGUUCCACACAGAGUACAAAUUAAAACAAAGGGCACAAAUUAACACUUAGUUUCAGAUAGUACAAAUUAAAGCUUAGUUCCACAUAGAGUACAAAUUAAAACAUAGAGCACAAAUUAACACAUAGUUUCACAUAUAGUACAAAUUAAAACAUAGAGUACAAAUAAAAACAUAGAACACGAAUUAACACAUAGUUUCACAUAUAGUACAAAUUAACACAUAGUUUCACAUAUACAUGAUAAGCCUAGUUUCUUCCUCUCCCUCGUCGUCCACGUCUCCCUCUUCUACGGGCAGUAGCUCCACCAGUACCGAAAGUUGGACAAUAAGUGUCCCUGUGGCCAAAAUGGUUGCAUAGAAAACAUUGUCGUGACGGUCCUCCGGCUUCAGAUUCAUCCAUAUCAUUUCGGGUGCACCUGAACGGGCGUCUGCCUGUGCCUGUACGCAGUAGCCCGGGGUCAGGAAUGUACCGCCUUUCACCAGGGGUUACCUUGUUGAAAUUGCCCAUUGCACAAAACCCUAGCAUCUCACCCGUCCAUGUGCUAGGCACAGACUCUUUCAGGUAAUAGGGAGACACAAAUGAGAUUGCGUCCAUCCCUAGCUGCCCGCAAGCAACAAGUACAUGUGAGCAACGAAGGUGAAGCAACUUUGGUUUGUUGCAGGUGCACUCACACGUUGGCCACGCUUCAUUUCCAAUCUUCACCUCCUGUGUCCUCAAUUCAUUUCCAACGCCGAACUUGUCAGUUGGCAAGCGCACCUCAAACCUAUGUUCUUGAUUACCGAUGGCGACGACAGUAUGAGACGUAGCUUUUCCAUCUUCUCAUCCAUGUACUUCAUAAUCUUUUCACGGUACGGUGUAUUUGGGUUGUUCAUGAUAUGCAUUUCAGCUCUCUGGCGUCUAUCUCUGAAAUACUUCACCGUGCCAUGGAAAAUACCCUCGACGAUGGCUGUAAGUGGUAAAGCCCUAUUUCCCCUCAGGACAAAGUUGUAUGUUUCUGCCAGGUUAGUAGUCAUGACGCCGUACCUAGCGCCAUGUGUGUCAUGCAGCAAAGACCACCACUCCAGAGGCUUGUGCUCUAUCCACUGCUGAAAGUUUUUAAUCUGCCUCCCAACCCUUCUCCUAGUGCCGGGUGGGUCAAACCCUGGCAAGUCACAAAGCCCAACAAGUUCUUCCUCAGAUGGUCCUGUUCCAACUGCUGUCUGUGCAGCCACUGCUGCUACAUGUGCUGCUACCGCUGCGUUUCGUGCCGCUGUCCUCUCCCUAACAUGUUUCUUCUUGAACUCAUCAAGAUAACCACGUAUCCUAGUGUACUUCCAUUGUUGGUUCUGUUUGCAGAGUUUCUUGAAUAGAUUCAUAAGUGACUUGUUCCUGAACUGCGAGAAGAAGUUGGCCCCCAAAUGCCGCAUGCACCAACGACUCUGCAUGUCCUGCCAUGGAGUCUGUUCAUCAGGCUCAGGGUUUGUCAGUGUCCUUAUCACACUAAGUAUGCCUGCAUGUCUGUCAUGAAGGAUGCACACAUUCGGCUUAAUCAUGCACAAUUGCUCUCUUGAGCUGCCUGAAAAACCAUAACCAACUUUAAGUUUUCUCACCCUCCACGAAAGCAAAUGCGAGCGGAACGAUUUGAUAGUUGCCGUCUUGACCAAUGGCGGUCAAGAUCUGCCCCCUGUAUUUGCCAGUGAGAAAAGUACCAUCUAUGCAUAACACCAGUCGACAAUGAUGGAAAGCUUGAACGCAUACACCGAAAGUGAAGAACAGUCGUUGCAGCACCCUCACAGUUGGAUACUCUGAGUGCAGGAAGUGUUGGAUGUCGACAUAGGUGCCUGGAUUACGGGCUUGCAGUGUAUGGAGGAGGCGGACAACAGAGUCGUACGAGUCGAAAAACGAACCAAAUCUUUCCUCAAGAGCCCUCUGCUUAGCCCUCCAAGCCUUGCCAUACGAAAUGUUGUACUUAAACCUUACCCUGACCUUAUGCAUGAUGGCCUUCACUUCCAUUGCUUUGCUCUCCACUAUCUCCGUGUAAAGCAACCGAGCAAGAAGCGUCGACGAGAGGUUACGAUGGUCUUGAGGGAUACUGGGAAUGACACAUGUGUGCAACAUCAAGUCACUCACAACCCAAUCUGUGUCAUACUUAGGAACAUAGCCAUGCACCCUCCCGGGACAAUCUACUUGUUCACACUCCAUUGUAAGAUAUUUUUGUGAAGAGACUGUUGUUUUGAAAACCCUUUGCGUGGACAUUGCCCAAGCAAUUAUCGCAUCCUGCAGAUGUUUCUUGUCAGCAAAUCUGGCACCCUUCGCAAUGUUGUUCUGAUGAUAUUGUCAUGCAGAGUCGUGCCCAUCGUUCACGGUCAUAGCUGAAGAGAAGUGUUGAUUCCAUGAUGCAGGAGUCGGCACCUCCUCUUUGUCCGACUCAUGAGACUCAUCGUCAUAAGAACUACGGCCAUAUGUAUCUUCAUCCUCCAUCUCGUUCUGCAAGUGACCAUCUUCUUCGUCCGCAUCUGCCUCGCCAGUGUACUCAUCCUCUCCUACUGCCCCGGAGCUCUGGCCUGAUUCAUAACCACCACCUCCAGUAUUCGACACAGAGUUUGCAUUGGACAAGUCAUAAUUUGAUUCACCCUCGCCUUCAGCUGGAUUGGUCUCAUGAGCGACAACCUGGAUUAAGGCGACAGGUGUAGUUCCCCUUUUCUCGCAACUUUUUAACCAGCGCACCCACUUUGAUGUCCAGUCUAUCGGCCUCAAAACCAAAAAAAUAUUUGAACUUGACUUGGUCCACAAUGCUUGCACACGGGCGGUGUAUGUUUCAGGAUUGACCGCUAAACAUCCUACCAACCAUUCCUGCAACUGACUAAACGUCCAUGUUUGAGGGGCCGUUAGAUCCAACUCCACAUACUUAAACUGACUCAGGUCAGCUCCGUGCUCGGUUGUUAAGACAGUACCGGAACCGUAGUAAAAAACAAACUUCACUACACCGGACAUCUCUGAUGCCUAAAAAAAUGUUUAGACGCAUCAAAUACUAAGCAAUACGGCAUAUAAAAAAUAUUAUGACACGUCAAAUACUAAGCAGUACGGCAUAUUAAAAAUAUUAUGACGCGUCAAAUACUAAGCAGUACGGCAUAUUAAAAAUAUUAUGACGCGUCAAAUACUAAACAGUACGGCAUAAAUAAAAUCUAGCCUAAUCAAAACAUAUUACUACCGGCCAUACUAUUUGGACGCGUCAAAUACUAAGCAGUACGACAGAUUUAAAAUAUUAAUAGGUGUCAAAUACUAAACAAUACGGCAUAAAAAAAAUCUCGUCUAUCAAAACAUAUUACUACCGGCCAUAAUAUUUAGACGCAUCAAAUACUAAGCAGUACGACAUUACCCGUUGUCCAAAAUAAUGAGCACUACCAAACGCUAAAACAUACUUCUGGCAUCAUCACCAUUGCUCCAAUCAAAACAUAUACAUUGAAGCAGUGCACACGAAUCCUCAUAAACAUCAUGUGUCUAAGCAGUACACACGUAUCCUCAUAAACAUAUACAUUAUAAGAUAAAUACGUGAGAGAUUAGGAUUUACCCUUGAAGCGUGUGAACCCAACCUCGAGCAACCUCACAGUCACCCGAUGAGCACCACCACCUCCAAACUCCUCCAAACCACCACCAUUGCUCCAACUUUGCACCACAAAAUUAGCUCUACAUGGCCAAUGAAAACAGUAGAUCGAGGUGUCUUUGGGUGCCAACUAGGUAGGGGAUGCGAUUUUGUGGUUUAAAUGGGAUCAAAGUGCACUAAUUUGGGCUAGAAAAUGGGGCCAUUUGAGGAGAAAAUGAAGAACACAGAAGAGAAGAAGCUGGCUGGGAGAACGAGCAGAGGAGGAAGAAGCUGGCUGGGCUCACUCGGGCACGCACGGGAGGGAUGGGAAGGCAAAGUGAAAAAGGAAAAGGAAAAAGAUUCCGGCCCCGAACCCACCAUGCCGCUUUCGGCCACGACGAGGCCGACUGGCCAGUCGGCCUGGGCCAGGAUAACUGCCUCGUGGGGGGCCCACAGGCUGAGCAGGCGGCCUGCAGUCGGCCUGGCCAAGGCCGACUGGGCCUAAUCGGCUUGGGCCAGGCCGACUAGGCCCAUUCGGCCUUGCCCAGGCCAAGGCCGUAUUAUUUUUGAUAUUUUUGAAAAACACGUAUUAUUUUUGAAAAUGAUUAAAAAAAUCGUAUUAUUUAAAAAAAAUUAGCAUGAUCUUGCCGGUAGUUUGGUUUAAUGGAAUAGAAGGUAUUUCGUCUCAAAAAAGCAUUUAAAACAAACAUAAAAAUAAUAUAUCAAUGCCAAAUUUCUCAAGAUGGGUGACGUAGAGGGGAUGAGGAAUGUUCCCAAUCCUAAGCAUCCCGGCUAUCCCAGCCGAAAUACAAGCCUGUCCGGAGAGUACUCAUGAGUUCCCCGUUCGGUUGCAACAACCCCUGCAGGGAUUGAGUGGCGUUUAGAGAAAAUUGAACUAAACUGUCAUCGUUACUUCUCAAUCCCCAACGAGAAAGCCGUGCGAAAAACCCUGACAAUGAGGAUACACAGGGCAAAACCGAAGAAACAAGCCGCUACCGCGAAAACGAAACCCCUCCCGCUCCAACGACGCCGAACAGGGAACAUCACCUUGCGCCAGAGCGGGUAGGCAGAACUGGACUUCUUCGACGACCGGAGACAGGAAGAGGUUGCCCUGACAGGAACGGCUCGCGCAACGGCAAGCCUGCGUAGCACGAAGUCGCCCUCCCUGGCCAGCCCCACCGCGGCAAGCAAACUCUGCCGCCAGACGAGGGCUCCAAAGGUAACGCCUCCAAGGAGGACACGGCGUCCGAAGACGCCACCAUUGCCCGAUCCGAAAAACGCAUCUGAGCUUUCGCUCGGAGGCACCUCGCCUGCAAAAGGUGGGAUGUAGUAGGGCUGCACGAUGACGCCUUCAAGAAGGGAGCGGCGUCCAAGGACGCUGUCAUCGCUGGCACCAAAGGCGGUGCAGGGUUUUCACCCGCAGCCCACGCACCCAGCGUGAAUAGGGGCAAAAAACCUUCGCAAUGAAGAACUGACCAGAGGCCAGAGGCCACCAAAGCUCCGUGCGCACCGACGUAGGUCCGUCGACGCCAAUGGCCCAAACUAUCAGCCGCCAGGGCAUCACAACCGCCCCACGCACCGGCUUUGACGCACACUCGGCCCGCAGGCCCAAGCCGGACCCAAAACGGGCCCGCCCGCCACGGGCCAUCGAGCCGGUCGGGAACCUCCACGCACCGGCAAGUGCACGGCAAUGCUGCAACCACAUGCCGCCUAGCAGAACUGGCCGGCUGCCUGGGCCGGGCUCAUAUGUGAGCCCACGCCACCCAUCUGCACCCAGCAGACCAGUGCCGCCAUGCUGCCCAGCACCGCUCUGCGCCGACGGCCCCACGCGCCACCCCACGCCUCCACGCGUUCCCCGCCGUCAUCUCGCGCCACCAGGCGCCGCCUCGUCGUGGGAGAAGAGGAAAACGCUCCGCCGCCACCUUCCUUUGGCGUGCGCAGGCUUCGCCGGCACCCCCUUCGGCGGCAGCAAAGCAGGGGAAAGGGAGGAGGAGGAGGAAGACCGGUGGCGGCUAGGGUUUCAGGCAACACGGGGUAGGAGGAUGAUCCUUUGAUUUUAGUAUUUGCAUCUAGAUGUGGCCAAUGACUACAGAACGUACCCCAAUGCAGCAACUCAAUCCAUCAAAAAUAAAAAUAAAUCAAAGAGGCCGAAUAGAACAUGAAAUCCGAUAGAUCGAAUACGUUCAUAGGAUCGACACUUUGUGUUCUUUGAGAUAAAGAAUCGGAUUCCUAACAAUAUAUAGAAAGGGAUUUUGUUUUGUUUGUAGCCUUGUAUUAGGCAACUAGCCGCUGCUACUCGUAAUCGAUGGAAACAGAAAUGGGGAUGUCGACGGCGCCGUGGUCCUCCCUCCCCGACGACCUCCUCGGCCUGAUCCGCCACAGGAUCGCCUCCCCGCGUGACCGCGCGCGCCUCGCCGCCGUCUGCUGCUCUCGGCCACAGACCGGUGCCCGCAACGCACAAUCCGGCAGCGACGGCGCGACCUCUCCCGACUCCCACUCCCAGCUCGUCGCCUCUUCAAUCUUCUCGCGCUUGGCGCCUGCAACUCCGGCCAGCUCGACGGUGGAGAGGCCAAUCUGCACGGCAGCCGCAACUAAAGGACGGCACCAACUACCGAAUCAGGGGUAGGCGCAAGUUAGUUUCAGGUUGAGUUGUUGUUCAGAUCCGAGUUGUUGUCACGCUGUUCAGAUUUUGUUGUCGAGUUAGUGUUGCUGCUACUUCGAUUCAUGUUCGUGUGUAGCUUCUACUUGAAGUUUCUGUGUGACCGUGUGUACAGCGACAGCGUGUGUGAUUAUGUAUGUGAGGCUCAAUUGUACGUCAGAUUGCAGGUACGUGUGAUGCUAGUCUGUAUGAUUUGUCGAAUUCUGAAAUGAGAUGGUGCCGAAAUUUCGGAAAUUCCGGGUUACCCGAUACCCGAACCCGAAUUCCGGGUUAUUAAUUUUUUGCUCUAAUUUGGAGUGUUAAAUUUGGAAAUCCGAUUUUUUACUUACCCAAAUUACCCGACCCGAAUUUUCGGGUAAACCCGAACGCCCAGUCUGAUCCUAGUCCUUGUUAUUUGAAACAAAUAAAAAUAAUCAUAGCAGGGGUGUGGCCGGCCGGUACGUGGAUAUAUUUUGUAUCGUGUUUAAAGUUCCAACCGCACAUGUAUGCAUGUUACAUAUCGGAUUCCUUCUUUACUCCAAAAGGGAGAACAUAUCGGAUUCCUAGCUACUUAGUACUGCAGUAUAUAAGAUAAGGGAUUUGUUUGUACGGCGAUUAGCCAGUACUCGCAAUCGAUCGAAAGUUCGAAACACGUAGAGAGAUGUCAACGGCGCCGUGGUCAGAGCUCCCCUACGACCUCCUCGGCAUGCUCCGCCUCAGGAUCGCCUCCCCUCGUGACCGUGUGCGCUUCGCAGCCGUCUGCAAGCCGUGGCGUGCCGCCGCGCUGCUGCUCCCGGCGCCGCCUGCCGCCCCACUGCUGCUCCUCUCGCCGCGCGGCCGCAGCGGGAUGAAGCACUUGUGCGGCCCCAACGACAGCUGGGUCUUGCGCGUCCCGAAGAAGGCUCUCUACAAGCAGUUCCUCGGCUCCCACGACGGCGGAUGGGUAGCUGCGGUGAAUUACGACGGGCUAAUGAUCGUCAACCUCUUCUCCGGCGCCGAGGUUGUGCUCUCCGCAGACCAAACCACCAAGCUCGCCUCGAUCUGCUCUCCCAAGCCGUUGCCGUUCCACUGCGUGGGACACAGCAUCUGGAAGAUUGUCUUCUCCGGAGACCCCGCCUCCUCGGACGGCUGCACCCUCGCCGUCCUCAUGGGCGACCAGGCCCACGUCGCGGUGUGCAGAGUCGGCUGCCCGAACGGCGAAUGGGCCGUGCAGGCUUGGCACGGGGAGUCUAUCCAGGACAUCGCCUUCUGCAACGGCGAUCUCUACGGCCUCACGCUUGGCAGCGAGUCACUGAUCAAGUUUGAGAUCAGCAUGAAGCUGCAGGAACAAGAAGACGGCGGCAUGGCGCCGGUGCUCACGACCAUGGCUCACAAGCUGGCCAUCCAAAGGCGUGACGUUCCCACCUGGGAGCACGAUUUCAGGGCCUACUUCGCCUACAUUUUCGAGCUGCACGGCGAGCCGGCGAUGGCGGUGCGGACCCGGUGGCCGGCCAACCGUGAGCCUAUCUUCAGGGUGUUUAAGCUCUCCGCUGCUGCCGACGGCGUGUCUGAGCACAGGUGGGCAGAGGUGACGAGCUUGGGCGACUAUGCCUUGUUCUUGGGGGUGGCAUGGUCCAAGGCAGUGCAUCUGCCGAUGGAUGCCGGCCGGUGCGUUGCUCGUGAAGGCCUGGAGAGAAACCACAUCUACUACUCCACGCCUACCCGCUCCGAGGAAGACAAGUUGCCCGGCGACCAAGUGUACUCUGUGACAUCAGAAGACGGGCACCGUAUGUAUUGCAGGAAAGACCAGAGCGUGGGCGAUAGCGUUGGGAGAACAGGAUACCACAUGAUGGGUUGGCAUUAUUCUGCCAUGUGGCUACUCCCUCCAGACUUCUAGGUCAUAUAGUACUUCUUUUAGCUGAUAGGAGUCUUCUUUUAGCUGAUAGGGAGAUGACUCCGUCGAUCUUCGUACCAUAUUAUCAGCAUGAAUCUACGUGUGACUGAUUUCGGCCUGAAAGAGUAUCAUCAACCGUCCAGUGCAGUGAGCCGGCUUUCUUCUUGCAGAACACGUCGGAGCGAGAGAGAAAAAACUGUUUACCAGAUGACGAACAAACUGUGACAACCAUAUCAUAACACUGAAUAUAAUCUAUACAGAUGGUCCCCCCCUGAGGUUUGUACACACCGGAGUUUGUCGAAUUUCUGAUGACUGCGACUUAAUUACCGCUGUUGAUAAUACCCUCUACACACUUCUGCAAUCUGCAUGCUAUCCUAACUCCUAAGUAACUAAGCAAUUACACGACAGACUUGAAUCACAACGAUGACACCAGAUCACGGCACGGCAGAGCACCAGCAACUCGAAAAAGACCGACAAGAAAGCAGAAAGAUUCAGCUAAGUCCUUGCUCGGCGCCUACGAUACCCGUCACUGGAAUCAUGCGUCCAAAUGUUGAAUUACUCAUGAUGACAUUGGGCAUCUGCCCAAUCUGGUCAAUCAGCCGUAUGUGUUUGCAUGUGGCUCGUAACCAGCUGUGCUGUAGGUGCAAACAUGUUUGAUCCUGAAAAGGAAAUUUGGUAUUGGUUAGCAAUAGCCAACUUUAACUGGAAGAUACAAGAUGAGACGAACUCCUGUGAUUAUCAGUGUAGGUUAGCACCUGGAACAGCAUUAAAACCAUUCACAGUUUGGUGCAUGGCGGCCCGUGCAUGAACAUUAUGGCUGCUCUUCGUCUCAACAGCAUGUUCACCUCGGUCUAUUGAAACCUGUGGUAAUGAUCCACAUUGCUGGCUUGGUAAUGCUUGAGAAUCAAUCCUCUGAGCGGUGUCGGUAGAAGCACAUGACGCAGUGUGUGGAGGCCCUGCUGAAUGGCUUCUGCUGGCAGGAUCAUCAACAGUUUGCUGUUCACUCGACGCUGCUGUGCUGCUUGGUGGCAUCAUUGCUGUCGAAGAUGAAGUUGGUACAGGUGGCCGAAAUGUGUUUGAUGUUUCAAAAUCUCCUACCCACCCGCGACCAAACGUUAUUCCAGGAGGAAUGACCUGUUCAAUUCGCUUCGAUGCAACUUCCCAAGCGGCAGAACCAAGCUGUGCAGCAAAACGUGCCAGACUGCGGGAAUAGGACUGCUGCCACUGAACCCCAACCUGAAACAAGAAAAUACUGUGUUUAAGUGAGAAUGAUACUAUUUACCAUUCCCCAAAGUUACUGGGAAUCUGAAAGACUGAAACUAUAUUGAUAUAUCAUCGAUCUCUUAGGGAACAUGGCUUGUAUUGGACACUCAACUGGUACAAGAAUCUUCCUUGUUCCGUUGUAUGAUGUUGCCACUGGCAGCUCAUAUAUUGAACUGGAUGGUUGAUGAUGAUAAUAUGUGCUCCGGCGACUUUCUUCUACUAAAAGCGGCUUCUUCGCCAUUUUUCCUGACCAUUUACUCCCGGACCCUGGGACAUACGGAACAUUAAAUGAUGUCAGGGGGAAAUGGGUUGGUUGAAUCGGAAAGAUGUCCUUUAUUCAUCAGCAUCCCAUUGAAUACCCACUCAUUCAAAAUACAGAACUUUGGGGUGAUUUAAAAUAAUCAAAACCUGAGUAAUCUUCAAUGCUUUCCAUUUUGCGCUCGCUAGACCAAUUGUGCUCAUUGUUUCUAUUGGCAAAAGAAGCUUUCAGUACAUCUGCAAUUCUUCUUUGUAGAUCGAAUCCUGAGUGUGCAUGAUGUCCACUAUUUCCACCAGUAGCGAGUGCCGCACCAGGAAAUUCAGGAGGAGCACGUUCUGCUGGUGGUCUCCCAAUGUUUGGUUUGGCGGAGUUCUUUGGAGGCCUGCCUCUGCGACGUUGUGGCUUUGGUUCUUGCUCUGGUAGUGGUUCUGGCUCCGGCUUUGCUUUUGGUUUUGGUUUUGGUUCUGGCUCUGGUUCACUGGCAUCGCUAUCUUGCCUAAGAUUCUCAAAGUCCUUCUUAGCAACCUCUUGAAUUGCUCGUGCCUAUAAUACAUGAUACAUGAAUAUUACAUUUGCGCCAUAGCUUCCACAGAAACAUUGUAAUUCAUGAAAACAAGAAGACACAAUGCUUGACCUGUCGAUAGUAUAUUGUGUCUGGUGAGUUGUAGCACAUCGCAUUUGAGGUUAUCAAAAACACAUCAUCCUGUAAAUAGAAAGUUUGGGUUAGAGGUUACAAAAUGAAUGAGCAUAUAAAUAGCAUGCUGAAUAUGUGAAUCAUUAUGAGGAAUAACUUUGUACUAGCAUAAUAGUAAGAGUAUCACAACACAUUAACAUUACAAUAAGCUUUACGAACAAAAAGAUUGUGACAUCCUCCUAGCACGAGUAAGAAUAAUUCAUUCGAUAGAUAAUAAAAGUACACACCCAGCACGGCCUGUAAUGUUGAUUGUAGUUUAGAUACUAACAUACCGACUAUUUAACAGUGAGUCAAACUGCCAUUUCUUCUCGAGGUGUGGGUUGCAUCCCAGACCAUGGUUUAGCAUGAAGCAUGGAAUAAAACUUGAUGAACACAACAAUGUUAUUGAUAUAGAGGUAAGACUAAAUUGAAUGCGCACUGAAGAUGUAAGUAUACGAUGCCGGUUACAGCAUAUUUAGAUAUAGGUCCAACAGUUUCAAGUGGUACCAGAGAGGGUAGGAGAUAAGUAGCUACAGCAAGUAAAUUGGUAACAGUAAGCAUGCAUACCAAUCCCAAAAGUAAAAGUUCAGAUCUUCCCAUCUCAGUAAAUGCAUAUCUCAUAUUUCAAACUGACAACUUCGACCUCAGGUCCAACAAUACUUCGUUCGUGAGUACCACCACUACAUGAUUCAUUCGUGAGUACUACUACAAAAAGUGUUUAUAUAUUGGAAGUUGAACGUUCUGUUUACCCCAAAAGUAAGCUGCCUUAUUAUAUUCCUUUGGCCACAGGUAACAUGCAGUUUGCAGAGCAUGUAUAUCGCUUUUACAAAUGUAAUAGAACUAGGAAAUCCUGGAAAUGAGUAAUAAAUAUUGUCCAAGCGUUCACACAGCUGGUUUGUGUCUCUUCCUUCUUUUUUAUAAAGAAAGCAUCAUUUCGUAUUUCCUUAAAUAAUAGUUGAAGACAUUUUUACUUCACAGCAGGUGCUUUCAUUAGAUCAUAUUUUCCAUUAGAAAAAAAAUGGUCCAUUUACAGCUUUUCUUUUCUAAAACACACUUCUUCAGAAGAGUUAAUCAUUUAUUUACAUACAAACACUAUUUGUUAUGGAACUGUUUAUAGUAUCAGAUACUAUAGCCAAAUGACUUAAACAUCCUAGUAAUAAUUGGAUAUACAGAACAUAUGAAGACAGCAGCACCUGAUAUGUAACUAAAUAUAAACACAGCCCUGCUCAUAAUUUUAUACAAUUAAAUUUCUGCAAAUGGAAUCAAUAGCAGUAACUCCUGGUGGUGCAAGUGUUUCUCUUCACUUAUUACUAUAACAGAUACCUUGAUUCAGAUUUCAUUUUGCCUUUAAAGAAACUUGUUAAAUGAAAAUGUUGUGCUCCUGUCUUUCAUUAAGAAAAAAAAUCAGGUGUUCGGUACUUCAGUUUACAAGAUAUUUAUCAAAUGAAACAUUGACAGAAAAAACACCUAGCAGCAAAACUCACAGGUUUGUAUUAAAAUAUUUGCACCGCAUGUUUCGACUCUAAGAGAGUGAAUAUAUGUUCCUAAAAGGCAUGGUGCAAUGCUGCAGCAGUACAGAAUAUUUGCCCCGCAUGUUUCGACUCCAAAGACAGCAGUGGACAAGGUAUUUUUUACCAAGCCAGAAAAUGCCAUGGUUUUACUAUUUCUACUGGACUAUAAGAAUAAAGAACAUGUCUGUAAGGUACAAAAGGAGAAGAAACGUCAGCAGGGAAAAACACACGAGUGUGACAGAGAUGACGACUAAUCUAGCUGAUCAAGCAAACCGACAUAACCAAAUUACUGUAACAGCUGAUUUCCUACGAAACACUCUCAAUCUUCUGCCUGUUAAAGGAAAAUCCAAAUAAAAUAGAAAAAGGUGAAACAACAAAAAAACCAAAAGAUUCUACACUGACCUCAAAUUGCUCCAAGAUGGUAUAAGCCCCCUUAUCAAGCUUCUUGCGAACCGUCUGAAAAUCCAUUGGGUCCUUGACAAUAUCAUGGUAAUCGGGCAGCUGACAAUAAAUGCACAAUUAAAGGCAAAUCAGUCAGCUUCUGAAAAACGAACCAAGAAAAACAAGCUUUCAUCUUCAGACACAAACCUCUUCUGGAUCAACUGGCUCUGAGAAUACACCAUAUGUGUCUUUCCUGCAAGAAAGCAAGAAACAGACCUCAGAUAAGAUGUCCCGGAACUGUGAAUGAACUGGAAGGAAGAACAAGCAGAGAGCAUAGCAACUCACUUCUGUAGCCUAUCAAGGAUGAAGACCAAUAACUUUUUGUCCGGCAGAGGUGUCGUGGGACCGGAAUCUGACGGCUCUGUCGAAUGAACAAAUCCAUCCACCCACGAGCACAGAAACAAUCAGAGGCACGGGCAUUAAUUAAACAAGAACAAACUGGAAUGUAUCCACCACUACAAGAAUAAUUAAAAAUGACAUCCUUGUGCACAUUCGUCCAGGUAUUUUUUGCUUCUGAAAUCUGAAGAAUAAAUGCAUCAGAGAGCUAGGGAAAACCAACCUUCACGCCCAUCCGUCGCUAUCCUCGUCUUUUCUCCCUGCGGCAACAGCAGCAACAGAGGAUAAAGAGAAAUUUAAAAACAACAGGACAAAAAUAUCUUCACAGAAAAUCGAGAUGAGCGGAGAAAAGGCGCCAGAAAAAGUGGGGGCUUUCGUUUACCAGCACCAGUUACCAAGUACAGAUCCUAACGACGCCGGCGUCGCGAGAUGUAUAGCAAAAUUUGGCGCGAAAGGCAGAGGAAACCAGCCCAAAAAAAGGUACGCCUUUAAAAGCUUGGAAGCGAUCCACUUACAAAAAAAAUGCGCCAAUUAUUGCGACGCGAGAGAUGCGAUGGGUUUUUGGUUUAUCCGCCAAAUGAUUGGGAGAGGGCUCUCAGGUUGAACUGCGCAGCGUUGACUGCUGCACGACGGCAGAGAGAGAGGGAGAGGGGGGAUAAAUAAAUAGAGGCGCGCGGGCGGGCUUUUCAUGCCUAAAAUAGCAAAGAGAAUUCCUCGGGCGGCGCGCGGCGGCGCAGAUCCGUACGUUCCCGGGGGCAGAGCACUCCGAAUUUGGCGAAUUCCGCGCGAAACCGGCCGGAUUCGAGCGGGGAGUGCGCAGAUCGGGAUUGGGGAUGCGAGGGAAGCCCACCUUGGCUGAUCCGCCGUGGAGGCCGACGACGAGGCGGACCUUCUUCUCGCGGCGGUCGUCGUCGCCGGAGUCUUCGUCGGCGGCGGGGUUCCGGCGCGUGGAGGGGCGGCGCUGCUGGGGCGGGGGCGGGGCCGGUGGCUCCUCCUGCAGCUUCUGGAGGCGGAGGCUGCGCUUCUGGAGGUCGAGGAGCGAGGGGCGGCCCUUCUUCUUCCGCUUCCGGCGGCCCGGGGGAGGCGCCGACAUCACCGCGGCCGGCGGCGGCUGCUGCUGCUUGCCCAUUGCCCGCCCGGCGAGUACACUGCCCUUUUUUUUAUUUCGACGGGGCUUUACUUUUUUUUCUCCCUCCGUUGUGUCGCAGGGGGGUAUCGCGUGUGUUGGGGUGCGGGACGGGGCGGGGGUGGGUAGACUUUUUGGUGCGGCGGGGGCCGCUUCUGUGUUGGCUUUUCUUUUUUCUCGCUUUGCAGAGCACGUGAGCUGCGUGUGUUUCUGGGCCUUCUGAGUUCUGGCAGGGCGGAGCUGGGAGUCGUAUACUCGUAUACCGUCUACUCGCUGCUGUCAACUGUAUACUGAUGCAUGUAUGACGUACCCGGGCUGCCAGUCGGUGGCACCGUGGCACUCACCAGGAACGCGACGAUAUGGCACGUCCGUAUGGUUCCACACGGGACAAAUAUUCACUGCCCUGUAAAUUCACUUUCAAUUGUUGUGAAUAUUUUUGAAAAAUAGUUCCAAGGAUGUUCAUAUUGAUGUAAUAUUCAAGUUGCAAAUUUUGGCGAAUCAACAAGAUUCCAUCAACUGAUGGUUCAUGACGACAUUUGUGUAACUACUUGACAUCAUUAUCGCAAACUCAACAAGAGACCAAAUGUGAUGUAUUGAAAGGCAAACAACCAUUGCACCUCGUCUUCCAACAAAAUCGAUAGGUCCCAAUUAACAAGGAGUAACAAAUCCUUGGGCGGAGCGUGAGUCUGGUUGGGCGGCUCUUUUUUUCGGGGAAGUUGAGUUUUAUUGCUCAUGACCAAGAUUACACAACCAGUAGCCACGCAUAUUAGAUGGUAUAGUGGAUUGUUCCUUUCUAACGGAAUAUGGUUUUGCAGGUACCGACAUGAUCCUUAGGGAUGAGUUAGCUAGGAGCAGGAGCUGCCAUGUUACAACAUCGAGGAGUUUAUCUCAAUGUUUCGGAGACAAAUGUGUUUACAAACUAAAAAUGUGAGAUCUCUUAAAUAAGUCGUAUAUCUGAAAAAAGAGGAGUAUCAUUAUGCAAACAGAUUGUUGGAACGUUGCUAAAUGUAGUGGCAUGCAUGUAAUACAAAGUCCAUCGAGACAAGGCCACUUCAAAGAAAUCCACAGGCUGACGGGACUUGACGAAGAUUGGUCAAGGACAAAACAGAGUCGCAUUGCAUAUUAACAGAGUCGAUUUCAGGUAGAUCUGUUCGCCGCAGAUUGGUUGAACCACGUCCUGGUUACCAGAGUCACAAGGAUCCCGCUUUUCCUCGAAAGAAAAAAAAAUCACUGACUGCAAUACUUUUUUCUAAGCUUGCUUGACCCCUAAUCUACUGCUCUUUGUCUGCUUUUCCACCUGGGAUUAGCGCUGAUGUUGCUGGGAUAGUAGUAUUGAUGUGGAGGAAGUCCUUUCAGUUUCUGUUUCGGACAUUCAGUAAUCAAUUUCAGCAAAGUUCUCAACUUGCCGGUGUUUGGUUUCAGUAGUUCUCUGAUGCAGAGCAGUGAAGUUUCAGCAAAGUUUAGUACCCCCAGGUGUUUGAUUAUUAUUUUUUUAUAAGAAAGGUGUUUGAUUUGAUCGUACUAUUUGUAAUUGGUAGUUAAAGAUUUCAGGUGUUUAGAUUUACAUGCAUUAAAGAUUUAGCAAAGUGGAGUUCGAUUUCCUUCCACGGUUGUCUGUACUCUGUACACGACCUAAUUCUUAUGAUUAUUGUUUGCAUAUAUAUCCCUUCAAUUCACUCUACGAGAUACACUAGCCAGCAAUCGCACAUCCCAUCACACGGUGAUUCAAAGAAGAAUGACCUCUGGGAUGAUUCGCUACUCAUCGAGUUCAUAUCUCCUCGCUUUGCUUAUGUUCUUUUCUUCAAAAAAAAGAAGAUUUUAUCGACUUAUCGUAGUACUAACCCUACAACGUAACUUUCGCCCUCUGCAUCCAAAACGGCACAGCCACACUUACUGUUCUGAAGAUUGGCAUGAUACAAAGAGAAAUCCUAACACCAAUUUGGGAAUCUGUAGUUCCAAGUGGACAAUUAGUAUACUAAUAGAGGAAAGGUGCCAAACACACAAUUGGCGGAUAGAAGUUGAAACUACCGAUGGCCGUGCACUAAUAUAUCCCAAUAUACAAGUACAUCAGAUCAUCGGGGCGAGUAAAUUUCACAAAACCACACUUCGAGAAUAGGGUUUCAAUGAGCCACAAUUAUGACUAAUAGUCUCACAAAACCACACUUUUUCGGACAGAUCUUCACACAGAACCCAAAUCAGGUAAUUAAGAGCGUUUGAUGGUGUUUCUGACAAGUAGGACCCACAUGUCGGAUGCCAGGAUCGAAUCGGGAUUGUCCGGGUAGAUAGAGGAGCUUAACGGGUGUCGGGCAAAUGCUGACGUGGAUAAAAAAAGGGUUUGACCCGUCCGACCUGGCAUCCGACAUGUGGGUCCCACUUGUCAGAAACACCAUCAAACGCUCUUAAUUACAUGAUUUGGGUUCUGUGAGAAGAUCUGUCCGAAAAAGUGUGGUUUUGUGAGACUAUUAGUCAUAACUGUGGUCCGUUGAAAACCUAGUCUCAAGAAGUGUGGUUUUGUGAAAUUUACUCUAAGGGAGCUAUAAGACUUCUUCAUCAUGUAUUCGGCAAGGCUUAAGGGGCCGAGACGUCGUUUCUCAACAUUGUCGGAGAAGUCUGUGGUGGCAAUCUCCACUCUGCCGUCCUCAAGGUGAUGUAUGCGAAUCCCGCGCUUCUUCGACCCGCCGCCAACGUAGUAGAGGCAGUUGCCUUCAAUGGCGGGGAGAUUGUCGGCGUCGACAGACAGAGAGCGAUGCUUGCCAAGGAAGAUCGCACGGUUUCCGAUGCGCUUGACCGGCUGAUCCAGAUAAGUUUUACGGUCAGGACCAACCCUGAAGACCUGCACGGCGCCCAGCUGGUGAUCGGACAAAGACGGAGCGUUGUCGACGAGGAACGUGGGCAGCUGGUCCUUCUGAUCCGAGGUUCCGGCGACGACGACGGUGGUAAGCUUGGUCUGCAGCAUGUUACCGGAUGAGCACACGUCCACGGCCGCUACAGUUCCCUUCAUGUCGGCGGCGUAUGCCCGGCCUUGGAAGGCCACCGGGAAGGCCACCGUGCCCGCGAGCGAGAGUGACUCGAGGGUCGGCUUGGCGCGGCGGCCGGUGAAGGGGUUGAGGAGGAAUAUACGGAGGCGGCCCUUCGCCUCCAGGAGUAGGAGGCCGUCUGCUGUGGAGCAUGGGCAGGUGCAUCCAGAGGAACCGGCCCGUGUCGACGUGCAAGAAGAGGAGCCGGCCGUAGCGUUCCCGGCCAGCGGAUGAUCGGGCGUGAGUCGUCGGCUGUAGUUUGUGUCAUUGACGAUGCACGGGUCGUCGCCCGCGAGCUUGUCGAGCAUGACCCAUCGGUGCGGGCGGAACCGCGGGUCGUCGUCCUCGUCCGGGCCGCGCGGGUCGGCGGUGGCGGCGCGCCAGCCGCGGCACACGGCGCGGAGGCCGAUGUAGUAGUCGAUGUCGCUGGUGGCGAGGAAGACGUCCGCGACGCGGCUGACGAGGUCGGGCAACAGCUACGACCAGUCCGCCGCGGGCUCCAUUGUCGCCGUGUGCGUGCGCCUGUGGCUGCAAGAGUUUAUGGAUGGGCCUUGGCACUCGGACGGAGGAAGAAGCCAGAGCCGCCGUCACCUUCCGAGCGAUGGCAAACCCUGAAAACGGCCCCGCUGGCGUGGAGAUGAAGUAUGAAGGGGAGAACCGUCUUAUCCAGCUGAUUCCCCGCCGCGUGCGCCGUGGAAUCCGCCUGGAUCGCUGGGGGCGUUUCCAACUGAUCCCCCGCGGCCUUCCGUCGAAUCCGCCUGGAUCGGCCGCCACUUGGCAGGCCGCGAAGGAUCUCAGCCCAGGAAAAGCCCACGGCUCCAAGGCGCAAAUGAAAGAGGAGAAGAGAAAAUCGUGAGAAAACUCACUGGAGGAGAAAAAUGGCUAUAGUAAAAUUAGUGAAAUACCCAAUCCGGAAAAAACGUCUAGUGCUUCGCCUACUUCCUCAAACAAAAGAGACGCGCGAAGGGCAGAGCCUCAGCCACCCAGCAGUAAUAGCAGCCGUGGUGCCCGUUGAGAUUCCCCGCGCCGUUCCGUCGAAUCGAUCAGCCGCGCGCCCGGCGCCCCUGCACAUAUAUUAUACCCAAUGCCCACACCUCACAACCACUUGCUAACGCGCGCGGCGGUGACCAUGGCUGCGGUGGACUGGUCAUCGCUCCCCGCCGACGUGUUCCUAGCCACCACCGGUCUCGACUACUACAUGAGCCUCCGCGCCGCGUGCCGCCCCUGGCGCGCCGCCACCGCGGACCCGCGCGGUCCGGACCGGCGCUUCCAUCCCCGCCGGUGGAUCAUGCUCGAACUGAAUAUCCAUGUUUCAAGAGAUAUUGUUAACUCCAAAGCUUUCAAACUGAAUAUCCAUGUUUCAUCGAAAUAGGGUACAAAACUUUCGAGUUUGUGGAUGUUCAACCCAAAAUCCAUAACAUACAACGGUUCAGCCUAUUUCUUGAGUUGACAGUUCGCAAUUCCUAGUGGCAAUGAAUACAUGCUAGCUACUCCCCUUUAACUAAUGAAUACUUGGCUCGAAACCUCUCGACCAUUGAGCUUAAUGAGUCCAGCCGAGUUUGAUUUUGAACUGGUCAACGAAACAUUUGAGUCAAGCCGAGCAUAAUUCUGAGUUCGUUAAUAAAACAACUUUAACCACUCAAGCAACGAGCUACUCGUUUAACACCAUCCCCUCUUCUCCCCUUGGUCCAUGGUCCAUCCCUCUUUUUGACCUAACUCAAUAUCCACCCACAUUCCUUGACACACAAGCAAAACCACUCUUGACUCGCGUCCUCCUCUCAUAUGGCAUAUAUGUUAAUUUAUUAACGAUCGAGUUAAACAAACCAAUUUUGUAGUUAAAUUGAGUCGAGCCCAUGUCGCUUUUGAACAUGAUAUACUAUUAACGAGUCGAGCUAACUGUUGUAACUAGUGUGUUAUCUUAAUUGGUUCUACCAAUUCGAGCCAAGCUAACUACUCCCUCCGUUACAUAAAGAUUGGCACGGAUAUCCGGCUCUACUCACACGGACAUGUGGUCAUAAUGCAAAAGAUGCAAAUGAACAAUUCUGAACAGGAGAUUUGAAUUCAGAACCUUUGGUUAUGUGGCAUGUGCCUUUAACCGUGUGGAGCUAACAAUUUAACUUAAUCCGUAUUAUAAUCUCACGCACACUGUGCUUGAUUCUUCUUGCUUUGCUUCCCUUGGUGCGGGUGCACAUCUCAGAGCAUACGGACGGUAUAGAAAGAAGGUGCAGUGCGUCCCAGACUAACCAAACUUUUUUUUUGGCUAUACAAAAUGCACGGUUGUUUGUUGCACGCAACGACGAUUGUUCCUUUUGCCAAAGUAAAUAAAUAAGCAUCUCUCGUCGAAGAUCAUUAUUUUUCUAAUUCUCUACCUCGUGAAAGCUGGAAGUGGCCACGUCACCGGCAAAACUAACCAACGGUAAUAUCUCCCGGAAAAAUCCACCGAGCCAGCCCUUCGCUAGCGCCAAAGAAGUUCACCGCGCGCACGGCCAAAAUCCACGCAAGACCAGCGAAAUCUCGUGGUCUCCACUCUCUGCUCGCCCGGCGCGGCGAGAAGAUAAUCUCAUGGCCACCGCACGGCCACAUCAGCGAGCCACCGCAGCAUCCCCGUGAGGACAUUGACCCCACCCCAUCGCCCUCGGCUCAGACUCAAACCCAUCAAAAAUCCGGGCGCGCCCACGGUGCCAGCCACUCCGUGGCCAGAGCGCGGCCACCUCGGCAACCCCCAUCCGCCUUCCCGGCACCUCACAGCGCGCGCGCCAAUGGCGACUCGGCUUAAGAUUCCCCGUGGAUAAGGACUCGAUCGCGCGCGUUCGGGCCUCCUAUUUAAACGCCUCUCGCUCCCGCUUUACUCCACAGCAACAACCGCUCCAACACUUCAGUUCUCACUCCACAGCUCAGAGUCAGAGCUACUAGCAAUGGCAGCGGCGACCAUGGCGCUCUCCUCCCCCGCGAUGGCCGGCACCCCGGUGAAGGUCUCCAGGGCCACCCCCUUCGGCGAGGGCCGCAUCACCAUGCGCAAGACGGCCGCCAAGCCCAAGGUGUCCGCGUCCGGCAGCCCGUGGUACGGCUCCGACCGCGUGCUCUACCUCGGCCCACUCUCCGGCGAGCCCCCGAGCUACCUCACCGGCGAGUUCCCGGGCGACUACGGCUGGGACACCGCCGGGCUCUCCGCCGACCCCGAGACCUUCGCCAAGAACCGCGAGCUCGAGGUCAUCCA
Molecule: long non-coding RNA, 46339 nt
Filed under: Brachypodium distachyon (stiff brome)
Lineage: Eukaryota; Viridiplantae; Streptophyta; Magnoliopsida; Poales; Poaceae
Description: long non-coding RNA (BDIS_LNC005261)
Rfam family: MIR1120/MIR1122 microRNA precursor family (bases 8995-9119)
Source: RNAcentral